RNAcentral lists this long non-coding RNA (48688 nucleotides) under Triticum aestivum (bread wheat). Its description in RNAcentral is "long non-coding RNA (TAES_LNC014094)". The stretch from base 44849 to 44963 matches the Rfam family "MIR1120/MIR1122 microRNA precursor family". The record is from RNAcentral. Lineage: Eukaryota; Viridiplantae; Streptophyta; Magnoliopsida; Poales; Poaceae.
GGGUGUCAUUCUAACUAAUUGGAUUCGGCAACCAAACAUAGCUCGUUGCAAAGCUGACUAAAAUAUAUUUCCUCCAUUUCAUAAUAUAGUGUCCACGCGCUUUUCGAGAUUCAAAUUUGACCAUAAAUUAGACCAAUAAUACAUAAAUCAUUUUACUGAAAAAUUAUACCUUUGAAUACUUUUUCAAAUACGAAUUCAAAGGUAUCUCCAUGAUACGGCCGCAGUCGCUAAUGUUGGUUGAAGUUAUGGUCAAAAUUAGAUCUCGAAAAGCGUGGGCGCACUACAUUAAAGGAUGGACGGAGUACCAUUAGUUUAUUCUUUUACAUAAAGGAUCAGAUCUGCUAUAAAGUUUAUCAGAAAUACAAAGCAUCUCAAAAAUAAAAAAAAAUGCUGCGAAAUUUGGAUACCACCAGAUGAUCACUACUGUUGCCAGAACGAGCCACCGAUGCACCCUUGUCGCGGCUUCCCUACCGGAGCCGGAUUGACCUUGUGGAUAAUAGUCUGGAAGUGUUCGUGCUCGUGUCGUGAAGGACCAGCGCCUUGCAGCCGUAGUCGUCGCCUUUGACGCCAUGCAUAGAUAUGAAGCACGUGAUACCAAAUGUAGCCACAUGAUGAGAAACCCUAACCUCGCCGCCCUGAGGUGGCGGUAGGAAUCUAUGCCGGAGCUCAUCCACGCCAACUCUUUUUUGGCGGUUUUGCGCCUUCACAUGCCGGCAGCCAAAGAUGGAGACGGUUAGACUUUUUCUCUAAGAACGAUAGUACCAUAUCGCUAGCACAGCAAGGUUCACACCGGAUUAUAUGCGUGCCUCUCGUCCGCUGCACCAGCCGGGCGUGGUGGUGCACGCCUAUGACUCCAGCUUCGGAGGGCGGGUUGGCACUGCUUAGACUCAAUUUCUCAGGCUGGGAGCGUAACCCCGCAGCGCCGUGCGUUCCCGUCAACCGAGUGCCAACCCUUUAGCCCUCUGUAGCUGGAGUCAGAAGCGCGCGCCACCGCACCCGGCUGUUCCAAACGGAUGCGCGGUGCACAUAUAUGCCGGUCUGUGCACUACUCAGCCACCGGUAUGGUACUAUUCCAUUUACAGCAGACCGGUCUUUUAGCAACUUGUCCGAUUUUUUAUUUUAAGCAUCAGUCCGAUCUCGGCCGCGUCUUUCUUCUUCCUCCCGUCCGACCCAUCAUCCCGCGCCGGCGACAACAUAUAACCAGCUAUAUAAGUUCAAGGCGCGAAGCAAGAGGGCUUAUUUUUUGCAUACUCGCCUUGCAGGGAUGCGAAGUGGUGGGUGUUUUAAAAUAAAUAAAAAGGAAAAUAUAAGACGAGCACGUUGUUAGCGGGUACUUGGCUUACAUAGCCCACUACCACGGGGACAUCAGGCCCGUGGAGGAUGGUCAUGUGACAGCCACAAUGCCGAGGCUCGCCUAUAGGCCGAGUAUUAUUUUCUUUCCUAGAUAAGACGAGUGCAUAGUGGAAAGCGGGAGUUUUUUUAUCAGUUCUUGCAUUAGCCCGCAAUAUGCCGAGAAUCUUUUUUAUGCCAUGUGCUUUAUUUUGGGUACUUGGCUUAUUGGUGCAUAAGCCAAGUACCCGUAAAAUAAUACUCGGCAUCCGACGAAACACUCGGCUACAUGUUUUUCUUCCGUAGUACAUUGGGCUUCAACGUCAAUAUUUUGGUCACUCACAUAUUGGGCUCGCUAUCUGUAGCCAAUAUUGUAAUAGACCCUUUGGUUCAUUAGUAAAAAAAUGAUUAAGAGUUAUCUUUCUUUUUUUAAAUUUACACUAGGUAAAAUUUCCUUGGUCCAUAAAUUAAUAUGUUUGUAGUUAGACUGUUUCGAACGUAUGCUUUGGCUGCCCAAGUCUGGAUAGUACCCGUUGUUAGUGAAGUGUUUUAUGUAUAUGUGUGCAUGCUUGGUUGGGCCAACUUUGUGUAAUACGUUUAGUGAAAUACAAAAUUGAUAUAUGCCACACUUUUGUGGUAACGACCAAUAACUAUAUAAAGAACUAUAUUCUACCUUUGUUCCUCCUCCGCAAGAAAAGAUCCCAUGCUUUUCUCCUCCUCCCAUCGGCGCUGCAGCUGGUCUGCCCCAUCUCUUAUCGCCUCUGGGCCAUGGAGGUGCGGUGGACCUGAGCCCCCCGCUAGCCGGAGGGACCCUCGUUCUCAUUCUUGUUUGGUUCAACAUCUUGGUUGGGGCUAUAUGGCGGCAGAGAUGUCUCUCAGUAGGAAUAAUGUCUCGCACGUUCUAUCCCCGUCCCAAUUGUGCCAGGGCUCGCCUGUGUGUGUGUGUGUGUGUGUGUGUGUGUGUGUGUGUGUGAAAUGGUAUCACUAAACACUUAAAAUCUAUUCAGAGUCAAAUAAUUAAUAUUCUACCUUAAACUUUCUUCUUACAACCCUAGAUGGAAAUUCGUUUAUGAAUGUAUCAAUAUCAAUGUCAUUCAUAUGUUUUCCAAAUGCAUAAAGUUAUCAAACCAUUUAACCUCUUUUGGGACAUUAACAAACCUCACAUACUUUUUCCUCAACAUAUAGCUAUUUUAAAGAUGCACAUGCUACUUCCAGUAGAACAUUACUUAUCACGUAAGGCAGCAUACCUCGGCCAUCAUCAUCACAUCGAGUAUCUCCAUAUACAUGUCGUCCUUCAUAUUAAUUUUUGUUCGUUGAUGAAGCAUUAGAACCAUCUUCUAAGCUCUAGAUCUAACACAAAUAAUGAGUUAAGUUUAUUAAACUAAAAGAGAAAACAGUUUAACAGAAGAUUCAGUAGAUUACGUGAUAUCAUCUGCAGAUCCAAAAGCAAUAUAUUCUGUGAAAUUUGAUUCUAGAGAUAUAAGUUCAAAUCUUCUACAGCAUAGGGACCACCCAAAUGGCUUUGAGAUAGAGCUUUUGCAGCAUCACUACAAACCCAUAAAAUUGAUCACCGAUUUAAUACAAUAGGUAGAAGAGUUCAUAAAGAUUUCGACGCACCUUCAGUGGUUAAUCCUGCUUCAGUAGACAUCAUCCCAUGGUCCUAAUUUUCCUAAUCGAACAGUAACAACAUAGUUCCUAAGUUUGAAUGCCAAAAGAAAAUCCUGCUCCUGGUGACUAUUUUUACCCAUCUGGAGCAACGAAAGGGAGUAAUCUCAUAAUCCAUACAAAACCCAUAAGAUUCGAUAAAAGAUGUGCAGAACGAUGCUUAUCAAAGCCUGGUGACGAAUAAACCGACGUGGUCCUCCUACAUCCCCGUGUGUCGUGGCAUCGAUGGCGAUUGCCCUGCGAGGAUUGCAGAGUGAAGUUUGGCGUCGGCGGGGGGCCUAGGGCAUUUUUUAUAUCAACUAGGGCAUUGUCUGCUACCCUUUUUUUGUUUUUGCUUGAAGGGAAAUUGUGCGCUACCUGCAGGUGGGUAUUUCACCACAUGUUGUGCCAGACCCAAUAACUCGGGUUAUGUUCGCUGCUAGGCCCCUGUGAUUGCAAGGAAGUAAACACAAGGACAUAAUAAUCGUGUGGUCGUUGUUGGCUGCAUCGUGACUGCAUGCAGAUUAUCUGAACUGCGUCCUAAUCGGAGGGGGGCUCCGGACUUUGGNNNNNNNNNNNNNNNNNNNNNNNNNNNNNNNNNNNNNNNNNNNNNNNNNNNNNNNNNNNNNNNNNNNNNNNNNNNNNNNNNNNNNNNNNNNNNNNNNNNNNNNNNNNNNNNNNNNNNNNNNNNNNNNNNNNNNNNNNNNNNNNNNNNNNNNNNNNNNNNNNNNNNNNNNNNNNNNNNNNNNNNNNNNNNNNNNNNNNNNNNNNNNNNNNNNNNNNNNNNNNNNNNNNNNNNNNNNNNNNNNNNNNNNNNNNNNNNNNNNNNNNNNNNNNNNNNNNNNNNNNNNNNNNNNNNNNNNNNNNNNNNNNNGUGUCUAGCGUCAUCGGUGGGCGUGUGGAGGUGUGUUGCUACUAGUGAGUUGCGUCAUCGGAGAUGCAGUAUAGUACAAAUAAAUAUUUCCCUCAGUUAUGAAACCAAGGUUAUCAAUCCAGUAUGAGAACCAAGCAAUACUAUGUAAACAACACCUGCACACCGAUACGUCGCCAACGUAUCUAUAAUUUUUGAUUGCUCCAUGCUAUGUUAUCUACUGUUUUGGACUAUAUUGGGCUUUAUUUUCCACUUUUAUAUUAUUUUUGGGACUAACCUAUUAACCGGAGGCCCAGCCCAGAAUUGCUGUUUUUUGCCUAUUUCAGUGUUUCGAAGAAACGGAAUAUCAAACGGAGUCCAAACAGAAAAAUCAUUUUUGGAAUGUGAUUUUCUCACCGGAUAAGACCCAGGAGACUUGGACCCUACGCCAAGGCAUCGAAGAGGCGGUCACGAGGGUGGGGGGCACCCCCCCUAGGGCGUGCCCCCCUGCCUCGUGGGCCCCUCGAAGCUCCACCGACGUACUUCUUCCUCCUAUAUAUACCCACGUACCCCCAAACGAUCAGAACAAGAGCCAAAAACCUAAUUCCACCGCUGCAACUUUCUGUAUCCACGAGAUCCCAUCUUGGGGCCUGUUCCGGAGCUCCGCCGGAGAGGGCCGUCAUCACGGAGGGAUUCUACAUCAUGAUAGCCUCUCCGAUGAAGUGUGAGUAGUUUACCUCAGACCUUCGGGUCCAUAGUUAUUAGAUAGAUGGCUUCUUCUCUCUUUUUCGAUCUCAAUACAAUGUUCUCCCCCUCUCUUGUGGAGAUCUAGUCGAUGUAAUCUUCUUCUUUUUGCGGUGUGUUUGUUGAGACCGAUGAAUUGUGGGUUUAUGAUCAAGUUUAUCUAUGAACAAUACUUGAAUCUUCUCUGAAUUCUUUUAUGUAUGAUUGGUUAUCUUUGCAAGUCUCUUCGAAUUAUCCGUUUGGUUUGGCCAACUAGAUUGGUAGUUCUUGCCAUGGGAGAAGUGCUUAGCUUUGGGUUCGAUCUUGCAGUGUUCUUUCCCAGUGACAGAAGGGGCAGCAAGACACGUAUUGUAUCGUUGCCAUCGAGGAUAACAAGAUGGGGUUUAUUUCGUAUUGCAUGAAUUUAUCUCUCUACAUCAUGUCAUCUUGCUUAAAGCGUUACUCUGUUUUUAACUUAAUACUCUAGAUGCAUGCUGGAUAGCGGUCGAUGAGUGGAGUAAUAGUAGUAGAUGCAGAAUCAUUUCGAUCUACUUGUCACAGACGUGAUGCCUAUAUACAUGAUCAUGCCUAGAUAUUCUCAUAACUAUGCUCAAUUCUGUCAAUUGCUCAACAAUAAUUUGUUCACCCACCGUAGAAUAGUUAUGCUCCCGAGAGAAGCCACUAGUGAAACCUAUGGCCCCCGGGUCUAUUCUCAUCAUAUCAAUCUCCAUCACUUUAAUCUUGCUUUGUUUUUACUUUGUCUUUUACUUUCCACUUUGCAUCUCUAUACCAAAACUACCAAAAAUAUUAUCUAUCGGAUCUCACUUUCGUAAGUGACCGUGAAGGGAUUGACAACCCCUAAUCGCGUUGGUUGCAUUGAGCUCUUUGUGUUGUGUAGGUACGAGGGACUUGCGCGUGGCCUCCUACUGGAUUGAUACCUUGGUUCUCAAAAACUGAGGGAAAUACUUAUGCUACUCUGCUGCAUCAUCCUUUUCUCUUCGGGGAAAACCAACGCAAGCUCAAGAGGUAGCACACACAAACAACAAAUACUUGCAACCCAACGCGUAGAGGGGUUGUUAAUCCCUCAAUGGUAUUGAGAUAGAUUAAAUUGUAUAGGGUUUUAUAAAUACAUCUAACUAAAACAAAGAACAAAAUAAAUAAAAUAAAACUGCAGCAAGGUAUUUUUAGGAGUUUUAUUAUAUAAAAGAUAGAACCUGGGAGCAUAGUUUUCACUAGAGGUUUCUCUAAAGAAAACAUCAUCGGUAGGUAAACAAAUUACUGUUGGGAAAUUGACAAAAAAGCAAAUAAUUAUGAUCAUAUCCAAGGCAAUGAUCAUGUAUAUAGGCAUCAUGUCCAAGAUUAGCAGACCGAAAUGAUUCUGCAUCUACUACUAUUACUCCACACAUCGACCGAUAUCCAACAUGCAUCUAGUGUAUUAAGUUCAUGAAAAAAUGGAGUAAUGCAUUAGGCAAGAUGACAUAAUGUAAAAAAGAUAAAAUCACGUAUGAAUAAACCCCUCUUGUUACCCUUAAUAGUAAUGAUACAUGCCUGUCAUGUCUCUUUCUGUCGGAGAGAUUGAGCAUGGCAAGAUCGAACCAUCACAAACCACCUCUUCCCAGGGCAAGAAAAUUCAAUCUAGUUGGCCAAACCAAACAAAUAAUUCAGAGUCGAAAUACGAGGCUAUAACAAUCAUGCAUAAAAGAGUUCAGAGAGAACUCAAAUAAUAUCAUGGAUAGAUCUGAUUAUAAACUCACAAUUCAUCGGAUCGCAACAAACACACCGCAAAAAGUCAUUACAUCAAAUAGAUCUCCAGGAACAUCAAGGAGAACAUUGUAUUGAAGAUCAAAAAGAGAGAAGAAGCCAUCUAGCUAAUAACUACGACCCGUAGGUCCGUGGUAAACUACUCACGCAUCAUCGGAGGGGCAGCAAGGAUGAUGAACAACCCCUCCGUGAUCGUUUCCCCCUCCAGUAGAGUGCCGGAAAAGGCCUCUAGAUGGAUCGUUACCCACCAGGGCGCUCUAGAGGCCCCUGGCGCGCCCUGGUGUCUAGUGGGCCCCACGAGCCUCUUCUCCUGGCCUUAGAAGCUUCAAGUUCUCUUCUUGCCAGCAAAAAUCUUCAAAAACUUUCGUGGCAUGUGGACUUCGUUUGGUAUUGAUAUUCUGCAAAGUAAAAAGACAAGCAAAAAACAGCAACUCGCACAAUGCACCGGGCACUAAGUUAAUAGGUUAGUCCCAAAAAUUUAUAUAAAGUUGCUAGUAAAUGUAUAUAAAACAUCCAAUAUUGAUAAUAUAAUUGCAUGGACUAAUAAAAAAUUAUAGAUACGUUGGAGACGAAUCAUGUGUCUUCGUCAGAUCUCACAGGAUUCGAUCAGCGUUGGUCUUCGGUGAAUCAGUUUGGAUCCGGUCUUCGUUCGUCUUUGUGGUGUUUAUAGGAUUGAUCCUUUCGAUCUAUGACUUUCUUCAUCGGCGAUGGUUGCUGCUUCGGUGCGCUGGUCCUAUGGGACCUUAGCACGACGACUUCCUGCCUGUAUACUACAACAAGUUUUACCCAGCUCCAGCGAGGAAGGGGUAAUGAUGGCGACGCGCGGCUCGCUCUGGUGCUUGUAGUCAUCGCUAGGUGGUCCACAGACCUGGUUAUAAUUUUUCUUAUCUCUGUUGAUCUUUGUACUGCCAUGAUUGAAGAUGAAUAUGUUGGAAGUUUCUCACGCAAAAAAAUAACUAUAUAAAUAACUAUUUUAGUAAAAUUCAUAAAAAAAACUAUUUGAGCAAGUAAUAAAUUUUGACACCAAUUCUAUGGUAGUAAUUAAUCUUUCCCGUAAUAAUAUCCACAUUGGAUCCAGGUUUUAUACUGUGUAUACAUACGGGAGUAUGUUUAGAUAGUUGUGUGGACACAAGGAUAUAUCCUAGCAAAACUAUUUUUAGCAACAAGUAAUUAAUGAAUUAAUAUGUUUUAGCUAUACUUUGUUGGUGAAAACAUGUUGUAUUAGCUGUACAAUCAUCCACACCAGCUGAUAAAAUCAUAGUGAAACAAGCGGCACCAUAUCAUGAAAUAGCAGCAGAUUGUGAGGGUUAUGUGGGGAUCCUUUAUGGUGGUAGCUUACACGUCUCCAACGUAUCUAUAAUUUUUGAUUGUUCCAUGCUAUUAUAUUAUCUGUUUUGGAUGUUCUGUAUGCAUUAAUAUGCUAUUUUAUAUUAGUUUUGGGAGUAAGCUAUUAACCUAGAGCCCAGUGCCCGUUUAUGUUUUUCCUUGUUUUUGACUUUUAUUGAAAACGAAUAUCAAACAGAGUCGAAAUGGAAUAAAACUUUAUGAUGAUUUUUCUAAGACCAGAAGACAGCCACAAGACUUGGAGAGAUGGACAGAAGAGUCCCAAGGAGGCCACAAGGCCUCAGGGCGCGCCCCCUGGCUUGUGUGCCCCUUGGGAGUCCCCUAACCCUAGUUCCAUCUUUAUAAAUUAUCAAAUAUUCCCCAAACAUCAGAAGCGUCCACCAAAUUACUUCUCCACAGCCGCAAGCUUCUGUUAUCGUAAGAUCUCAUCUUGGGGCCUUUUCCGGCACUCCGCCGAGGGGGAUUCGAUCACGGAGGGCCUCUACAUCAACCUUUCUGCCCUUUCGAUGAAGCGUGAGUAAUUUACCACAGACCUAAGGGUCCAGAGCUAGUAGCUAGAUGGCUUCUUCUCUCUCUUUGAUCUUCAAUACAAUGUUCUCCUCGAUGUUCUUCGAGUUCUAUCUGAUGUAAUCUUCUUUUGUUGUGCGUUUGUUGAGAUUCGAUGAAUUGUUUUGAUUAGGUUAUCUAUAAAUAUUAUUUUAGUCUUCUUUGAACUCUUUUAUGCAUGAUUAAGAUAUCUUUGUAUUUCUCUUCAAACUAUCGAUUUGGUUUGGCCAACUAGAUUGGUUUUUCUUGCAAUGAGAGAGGUGCUUAGCUUUGGGUUCAAACUUGCGGUGUCCUCACCUAGUGACAGAAGGGGUAGAGAGUCAUGUAUUGCUUUGUUGCCAUGAAGGAUAAAAAGAUGGGGUUUAUGUCAUAUUGCUUGAGUUUAUCCCUCUACAUCAUGUCAUCUUACUUAAAGCAUUACUCUAUUCUUAUAAACUUAAUACUCUAGAUGCAUGCAGGAGUCGGUCUAUGUGUGGAGUAAUAAUAGUAGAUGCAUAAUAAUUUUGGUCUACUUGUCACGGACGUGAUUCCUAUAUUCAUGAUCAUUGCCUUAGAUAUCAUCAUAACUAUGCGCUUUUCUAUCAGUUGCUCAACAGUAAUUUGUUUACCCACCGUAUGUUUUCUUUCAAGAGAGAAGCCUCUAGUGAAACCUAUGCCCCCCCCCCGGGUCUAUUUUCCAUCAUAUAUUUCGAGAUCCAUAAAUCAAAAAACCCCAAAAUACCUUGCUGUAAUUUAUUUAUAUUUACUUUAGUUUGCCUUUUUAUUUUCCUUUUAUACCUAUCUAUUAGAUCCCACUCUUGUUCAUGACCGUGAAGGGAUUGACAACCCCUUUUUCGCGUUGUGUGCAAGUGUUUGUUAGUUUGUGCAGCUGCUGAAGGAAAUAUGCCCUAGAGGCAAUAAUAAAGUUAUUAUUUAUUUCCUUAUAUCAUGAUAAUUGUUUAUUAUUCAUGCUAGAAUUGUAUUAACCGGAAACAUAAUACUUGUGUGAAUACAUAGAAAAACUAAACGUCACUAGUAUGCCUCUACUUGACUAGCUCGUUAAUCGAAGAUGGUUAUGUUUCCUAACCAUAGACAUGUGUUGUCAUUUGAUUAACAGGAUCACAUCAUUAGGAGAAUGAUGUGAUAGACAUGACCCAUUCCAUUAGCUUAGCACCCGAUCGUUUAGUAUGUUGCUAUUGCUUUCUUCAUGACUUAUACAUGUUCCUAUGACUAUGAGAUUAUGCAACUACCAUUUGCCAGAGGAACACUUUGUGUGCUACCAAACGUCACAACGUAACUGGGUGAUUAUAAAGGAGCUCUACAGGUGUCUCCAAAGGUACAUGUUGGGUUGGCGUAUUUCGAGAUUAGGAUUUGUCACUCCGAUUGUCGGAGAGGUAUCUCUGGGCCCUCUCGGUAAUGCACAUCACAUAAGCCUUGCAAGCAUUCCAACUAAUGAGUUAGUUGUGAGAUGAUGUAUUACGGAACAAGUAAAGAGACUUGCCGGGAACGAGAUUGAACUAGGUAUUGAGAUACCGACGAUCGAAUCUCGGGAAAGUAACAUACCGAUGACAAAGGGAACAACGUAUGUUGUUAUGCGGUCUGGCCGAUAAAGAUCUUCGUAGAAUAUGUAGGAGCCAAUAUGAGCAUCUAGGUUCCGCUAUUGGUUAUUGACCGGAGACGUGUCUCGGUCAUGUCUACAUUGUUCUCGAACCCGUAGGGUCCGCACGCUUAAAGUUACGAUAACAGUUUCAUUAUGAGUUUAUAUAUUUUGAUGUACUGAAUGUUGUUUGGAGUCCCGGAUUUGAUCACGGACAUGACGACGAAUCUCUAAAUGGUCGAGACAUAAAGAUCGAUAUAUUGGACGGCUAUAUUCGGACACCGGAAGUGUUCCGGAGAAGUUUCGGAUAAAACCGGAGUACCGGGGGGUUACCGGAACCCCCCGGGGGUCAAUGGGCCUCAUGGGCCCAAAGUGGAGAAGAGGAGGGGCGGCCAGGGCAGGCUGCGCGCCCCCUCCCCCUCUAGUCCGAAUUGGACAAGGAGGGGGGGGGCCUUUCCUUCCUCUCCUCUCUCCCUUCCUUCCCCCUCUCCUACUUGGACAAGGAAAAGGAGGGAGUCCUACUCCCGGUAGGAGUAGGACUCCUCCCUGGCCGGCCGCCCCUCCCCCUUGCUCCUUUAUAUAUGGGGGCAGGGGGGCACCUCUAGACACACAAGUUGAUCUUCGUGAUCGUUCUCUUAGCCGUGUGCGGUGCCCCCUCCACCAUCAUCCUCGAUAAUAUUGUAGCGGUGCUUAGGCGAAGCCCUGCGACGGUAGAACAUCAAGACCGUCACCACGCCGUCAUGCUGACGGAACUCUUCCCCGACACUUUGCUGGAUCGGAGUCCGGGGAUCGUCAUCGAGCUGAACGUGUGCUAAAACUCGGAGGUACGGUAGUUUCGGUGCUUGAUCGGUCGGGCCGUGAAGACGUACUACUACAUCAACCACGUUGUUAUAACGCUUCCGUUGUUGGUCUACGAGGGUACGUAGACAACACUCUCCCCUCUUGUUGCUAUGCAUCACCAUGAUCUCGCGUGUGCGUAGGAAUUUUUUUGAAAUUACUACGUUACCCAACAGUGGCAUCAGAGCCUAGGUUUUAUGUGUUGAUGUUAUAUGCACGAGUAUAACACAAGUGAGUUGUGGGUGAUAUAAGUCAUACUGCUUACCAGCAUGUCAUACUUUGGUUCGGCGGUAUUGUUGGAUGAAGCGGCCUGGACCGACAUUACGCGUACACUUACGCGAGACUGGUUCUACCGACGUGCUUUGCACACAGGUGGCUGGCGGGUGUCAGUUUCUCCAACUUUAGUUGAACCGAGUGUGGCUACGCCCGGUCCUUGCGAAGGUUAAAACAGCACCAACUUGACAAACUAUCGUUGUGGUUUUGAUGCGUAGGUAAGAUUGGUUCUUGCUUAAGCCCGUAGCAGCCACGUAAAACUUGCAACAAACAAAGUAGAGGACGUCUAACUUGUUUUUGCAGGGCAUGUUGUGAUGUCAUAUGGUCAAGACAUGAUACUAAAUUUUAUUGUAUGAGAUGAUCAUGUUUUGUAACCGAGUUAUCGGCAACUGGCAGGAGCCAUAUGGUUGUCGCUUUAUUGUAUGCAAUGCAAUCGCCCUGUAAUGCUUUACUUUAUCACUAAGCGGUAGCGAUAGUCGUAGAAGCAUAAGAUUGGCGAGACGACAACGAUGCUACGAUGGAGAUCAAGGUGUCGCGCCGGUGACGAUGGUGAUCAUGACGGUGCUUUGAAGAUGGAGAUCACAAGCACAAGAUGAUGAUGGCCAUAUCAUAUCACUUAUAUUGAUUGCAUGUGAUGUUUAUCAUUUAUGCAUCUUAUCUUGCUUUGAUUGACGGUAGCAUUUUAAGAUGAUCUCUCACUAAUUAUCAAGAAGUGUUCUCCCUGAGUAUGCACCGUUGCAAAAGUUCUUCGUGCUGAGACACCACGUGAUGAUCGGGUGUGAUAGGCUCUACGCUCAAAUACAACGGGUGCAAAACAGUUGCACACGCGGAAUACUCAGGUUAUACUUGACGAGCCAAGCAUAUACAUAUAUGGCCUCGGAACACGGAGACCGAAAGGUCGAGCGUGAAUCAUAUAGUAGAUAUGAUCAACAUAGUGAUGUUCACCAAUGGAACUACUCCAUCUCACGUGAUGAUCGGGCAUGGUUUAGUUGAUUUGGAUCACGUGAUCACUUAGAGGAUUAGAGGGAUGGCUAUCUAAGUGGGAGUUCUUUAGUAAUAUGAUUAAUUGAACUUAAAUUUAUCAUGAACUUAGUACCUGAUAGUAUCUUGCUUGUUUAUGUUUGAUUGUAGAUAGAUGGCCCGUGUUGUAGUUCCGUUGAAUUUUAAUGCGUUCCUUGAGAAAGCAAAGUUGAAAGAUGAUGGUAGCAAUUACACGGACUGGGUCCGUAACUUGAGGAUUAUCCUCAUUGCUGCACCGAAAAGUUACGUCCUGGAAGUACCACUGGGUGCCAGGCUUGCUGCUGAGGCAACUGACGACGUUAAGAAUGUCUGGCAGAGCAAAGCUGAUGACUACUCGGUAGUUCAAUGUGCCAUGCUUUACGGCUUAGAAUCGGGUCUUCAACGACGUUUUGAACGUCAUGGAGCAUAUGAGAUGUUCCAAGAGUUGAAGUUAAUAUUUCAAGCAAAUGCCCGGAUUGAGAGAUAUGAAGUCUCCAAUAAGUUCUAUAGCUGCAAGAUGGAGGAGAACAGUUCUGUCAGUGAGCAUAUACUCAAAAUGUCUGGGUAUAAUAAUCACUUGAUUCAAUUGGGAGUUAAACUUCCAGAUGAUUGCGUCAUUGACAGAAUUCUCCAAUCACUUCCACCUAGCUACAAGAGCUUCGUGAUGAACUAUAAUAUGCAAGGGAUGGAUAAGACAAUUCCCGAGCUCUUCGCAAUGCUGAAAGCUGCGGAGGUAGACAUCAAGAAGGAGCAUCAAGUGUUGAUGGUCAACAAGACCACUAGUUUCAAGAAAAAGGGCAAAGGGAAGAAGAAGGGGAACUUCAAGAAGAAUAGCAAGCAAGUUGCUGCUGAGGAGAAGAAACCCAAAUCUGGACCUAAGCCUGAAACUGAGUGCUUCUACUGCAAGCAGACUGGUCACUAGAAGCGGAACUGCCCCAAGUAUUUGGCGGAUAAGAAUGAUGGCAAGGUGAACAAAGGUAUAUGUGAUAUACAUGUUAUUUAUGUGUACCUUACUAAUGCUCACAGUAGCACCUGGGUAUUUGAUACUGGUUCUGUUGCUAAUAUUUGCAACUCGAAACAGGGACUACAGAUUAAGCGAAGAUUGGCUAAGGACGAGGUGACGAUGCGCGUGGGAAAUGGUUCCAAAGUCGUUGUGAUCGCGGUCGGCACGCUACCUCUACAUCUACCUUCGCGAUUAGUAUUAGACCUAAAUAAUUGUUAUUUGGUGCCAGCGUUGAGCAUGAACAUUAUAUCUGGAUCUUGUUUGAUGCGAGACGGUUAUUCAUUUAAAUCAGAGAAUAAUAGUUGUUCUAUUUAUAUGAGUAAUAUCUUUUAUGGUCAUGCGCCCUUGAAGAGUGGUCUAUUCUUAUUAAAUCUCGAUAGUAGCGACACACAUAUUCACAAUGUCGAAACCAAAAGAUGCAGAGUUGAUAAUGAUAGUGCAACUUAUUUGUGGCACUGCCGUUUAGGUCAUAUCGGUGUAAAGCGCAUGAAGAAACUCCAUACUGAUGGGCUUUUGGAACCACUUGAUUAUGAAUCACUUGGUACUUGCGAACCGUGCCUUAUGGGCAAGAUGACCAAAACACCGUUCUCCGGUACUAUGGAGAGAGCAACAGAUUUGUUGGAAAUCAUACAUACAGAUGUAUGUGGUCCGAUGAAUGUUGAAGCUCAUGGCGGAUAUCGUUAUUUUCUCACCUUCACAGAUGACUUAAGCAGAUAUGGGUAUGUCUACUUAAUGAAACAUAAGUCUGAAACAUUUGAAAAGUUCAAAGAAUUUCAGAGUGAAGUUGAAAAUCAUCGUAACAAGAAAAUAAACUUUCUACGAUCUGAUCGUGGAGGAGAAUAUUUGAGUUACGAGUUUGUUGUACAUUUGAAACAAUGCGGAAUAGUUUCGCAACUCACGCCACCCGAAACACCACAGCGUAAUGGUGUGUCUGAACGUCGUAAUCGUACUUUACUAGAUAUGGUGCGAUCUAUGAUGUCUCCUACUGAUUUACUGCUAUCGUUUUGGGGUUAUGCUUUAGAGACGACCCAAUUCAUGUUAAAUAGGGCACCAUCGAAUUCCGUUGAGACGACGCCUUAUGAACUAUGGUUUGGCAAGAAACCAAAGUUGUCGUUUCUGAAAGUUUGGGGCUGCGAUGCUUAUGUGAAAAAGCUUCAACCUGAUAAGCUCGAACCCAAAUCGGAGAAAUGUGUCUUCAUAGGAUAUCCAAAGGAAACUAUUGGAUACACCUUCUAUCACAGAUCCGGAGGCAAGACUUUUGUUGCUAAAUUCGGAAACUUUCUAGAGAAGGAGUUUCUCUCGAAAGAAGUGAGUGGGAGGAAAGUAGAACUUGAUGAGGUAACUGUACCUGCUCCCUUAUUGGAAAGUAGUACAUCACAGAAACCGGUUUCUGUGACACCUACACCAAUUAGUGAGGAAGCUAAUGAUGAUGAUCAUGAAACUUUAGAACAAGUUACUACUGGACCUCGUAGAUCAACCAGAGUAAGAUCCGCACCAGAGUGGUACGGUAAUCCUGUUCUGGAAGUCAUGCUACUAGAUCAUGAUGAACCUACGAACUAUGAAGAAGCGAUGGUGAGCCCAGAUUCCACAAAAUGGCUUGAAGCCAUGAAAUCUGAGAUGGGAUCCAUGUAUGAGAACAAAGUGUGGACUUUGGUUGACUGGCCCAAUGAUCGGCAAACAAUUGAGAAUAAAUGGAUCUUCAAGAAGAAGACUGACGCUGAUGGUAAUGUUACUGUCUACAAAGCUCGACUUGUCGCAAAAGGUUUUCGACAAGUUCAAGGGAUUGACUACGAUGAGACCUUCUCAACCGUAGGGAUGCUUAAGUCUGUCCAAAUCAUGUUAGCAAUUGCCGCAUUUUAUGAUUAUGAAAUUUGGCAGAUGGAUGUCAAAACUGCAUUCCUGAAUGGAUUUCUGGAAGAAGAGUUGUAUAUGAUGCAGCCGGAAGGUUUUGUUGAUCCAAAGGGAGCUAACAAAGUGUGCAAGCUCCAGCAAUCCAUUCAUGGACUGGUGCAAGCCUCUCGGAGUUGGAAUAAAUGCUUUGAUAGUGUGAUCAAAGCAUUUGGGUUUGUACAGACUUUUGGAGAAGCCUGUAUUUACAAGAAAGUGAGUGGGAGCUCUGUAGCAUUUCUGAUAUUAUAUGUGGAUGACAUAUUACUAAUCGGAAAUGAUAUAGAAUUUCUAGAUAGCAUAAAGGGAUACUUGAAUAAGAGUUUUUCAAUGAAAGACCUCGGUGAAGCUGCUUACAUAUUGGGCAUAAAGAUCUAUAGAGAUAGAUCAAAACGCUUAAUUGGAUUUUCACAAAGCACAUACCUUGACAAAGUUUUGAAGAAGUUCAAAAUGGAUCAAGCAAAGAAAGGAUUCUUGCCUGUGUUACAAGGUGUGAAAUUGAGUAAGACUCAAUGCCCGACCACUGCAGAAGAUAGAGAGAAAAUGAAAGAUGUUCCCUAUGCUUCAGCCAUAGGCUCUAUCAUGUAUGCAAUGCUGUGUACCAGACCUGAUGUGUGUCUUGCUAUAAGUCUAGCAGGGAGGUACCAAAGUAACCCAGGAAUGGAUCACUGGACAGCGGUCAAGAACAUCCUGAAAUACCUGAAAAGGACUAAGGAUAUGUUUCUCAUAUAUGGAGGUGACAAAGAGCUCAUCGUAAAUGGUUACGUUGAUGCAAGCUUUGACACUGAUCCGGAUGAUUCUAAAUCGCAAACCGGAUACGUGUUUACAUUAAACGGUGGAGCUGUCAGUUGGUGCAGUUCUAAAAAAAGCGUUGUGGCAGGAUCUACAUGUGAAGCGGAGUACAUAGCUACUUUGGAAGCAGCAAACGAAGGAGUCUGGAUGAAGGAGUUCAUAUCCGAUCUAGGUGUCAUACCUAGUACAUCGGGUCCAAUGAAAAUCUUUUGUGACAAUACUGGUGCAAUUGCCUUGGCAAAGGAAUCCAGAUUUCACAAGAGAACCAAGCACAUCAAGAGACGCUUCAAUUCCAUCCGGGAUCUAGUCCAGGUGGGAGACAUAGAGAUUUGCAAGAUACAUAUGGAUCUGAAUGUAGCAGACCCGUUGACUAAGCCUCUUCCACGAGCAAAACAUGAUCAGCACCAAAGCUCCAUGGGUGUUAGAAUCAUUACUGUGUAAUCUAGAUUAUUGACUCUAGUGCAAGUGGGAGACUGAAGGAAAUAUGCCCUAGAGGCAAUAAUAAAGUUAUUAUUUAUUUCCUUGUAUCAUGAUAAAUGUUUAUUAUUCAUGCUAGAAUUGUAUUAACGGGAAACAUAAUACUUGUGUGAAUACAUAGACAAACUAAAUGUCACUAGUAUGCCUCUACUUGACUAGCUCAUUAAUCGAAGAUGGUUAUGUUUCCUAACCAUAGACAUGUGUUGUCAUUUGAUUAACGGGAUCACAUCAUUAGGAGAAUGAUGUGAUUGACAUGACCCAUUCCAUUAGCUUAGCACCCGAUCGUUUAGUAUGUUGCUAUUGCUUUCUUCAUGACAUAUACAUGUUCCUAUGACUAUGAGAUUAUGCAACUCCCGUUUGCCGGAGGAACACUUUGUGUGCUACCAAACGUCACAACGUAACUGGGUGAUUAUAAAGGAGCUCUACAGGUGUCUCCAAAGGUACAUGUUGUGUUGGCGUAUUUCAAGAUUAGGAUUUGUCACUCCGAUUGUCAGAGAGGUAUCUCUGGGCCCUCUCGGUAAUGCACAUCACAUAAGCCUUGCAAGCAUUGCAACUAAUGAGUUAGUUGUGAGAUGAUGAAUUACGGAAUGAGUAAAGAUACUUGCCAGUAACGAGAUUGAACUAGGUAUUGAGAUACCGACGAUCGAAUCUCGGGCAAGUAACAUACCGAUGACAAAGGGAACAACGUAUGUUGUUAUGCGGUCUGACCGAUAAAGAUCUUCGUAGAAUAUGUAGGAGCCAAUAUGAGCAUCCAGGUUCCGCUAUUGGUUAUUGACCGGAGACGUGUCUCAGUCAUGUCUACAUUGUUCUCGAAUCCGUAGGGUCCGCACGCUUAAAGUUACGAUGACAUUUUCAUUAUGAGUUUAUAUAUUUUUGAUGUACCGAAUGUUGUUCGGAGUCCGGGAUUUGAUCACGGACAUGACGAGGAGUCUCGAAAUGGUCGAGACAUAAAGAUCGAUAUAUUGGACGGCUUUAUUCGGACACCGGAAGUGUUCGGGAGAAGUUUCGGAUAAAACCGGAGUACCGGGGGGUUACCGGAACCCCCCCGGGGGUUAAUGGGCCUCAUGGGCCCUAAGUGGAGAAGAGGAGGGGCGGCCAGGGCAGGCCGUGCGCCCCCUCCCCCUCUAGUCCGAAUUGGACAAGGAGGGGGGCNNNNNNNNNNNNNNNNNNNNNNNNNNNNNNNNNNNNNNNNNNNNNNNNNNNNNNNNNNNNNNNNNNNNNNNNNNNNNNNNNNNNNNNNNNNNNNNNNNNNNNNNNNNNNNNNNNNNNNNNNNNNNNNNNNNNNNNNNNNNNNNNNNNNNNNNNNNNNNNNNNNNNNNNNNNNNNNNNNNNNNNNNNNNNNNNNNNNNNNNNNNCUCUCCCUUCCUUCCCCCUCUCCUACUUGGACAAGGAAAAGGAGGGAGUCCUACUCCCGUUAGGAGUAGGACUCCUCCCUGGCGCGCCUCCUCCUGACCGACCGCCCCUCCCCCUUGCUCCUUUAUAUACGGGGGCAGGGGGGCACCUCUAGACACACAAGUUGAUCUUCGUGAUCGUUCUCUUAGCCGUGUGCGGUGCCCCCUCCACCAUAAUCCUCGAUAAUACUGUAGCGGUGCUUAGGAGAAGCCCUGCGACGGUAGAACAUCAAGAUCGUCACCACGCCAUCGUGCUGACGGAACUUUUCCCCGACACUUUGCUGGAUCGGAGUCCGGGGAUCGUCAUCGAGCUGAACGUGUGCUAAAACUCGGAGGUGUCGUAGUUUCGGUGCUUGAUCGGUCGGGCCGUGAAGACGUACGACUACAUCAACCGCGUUGUUAUAACGCUUCCGUUGUCGGUCUACGAGGGUACGUAGACAACACUCUCCCCUCUUGUUACUAUGCAUCACCAUGAUCAUGCGUGUGCAUAGGAAUUUUUUUGAAAUUACUACGUUACCCAACAGCUGCAUAUAUUAGAGACUUGCUUGUGCCUCCUAAUGGAUUGAUUCCAUGAUUCUUAACUGAGGGAAAUACUUAUCUCUAUUUUGUUGCAUCACCCUUUUCUCUUCAAAGGAAAAAUUAACGCAAGCUCAAGAAGUAGCAGUAGCUGAACCCAGGAAGGCAACCUGGAAGGAGAAUCUGCUAUGGUAUUGCCUGUUGUAGGAGAGACGACUACAACAAGAUCUAACAGUCAUGGUUAUACACACAGCUUGGAAAUUGAUUCUCCCUCUCGUACUGAGAGUCCUGCUGCCAGGUCAGAUUUUGUUCUAGUGGCAUAGCGCCGAGACUGCAUACAAAUUUAUCCUGAGUGGCUGGCGUAAAUUGUAUCAAGCAAAAGGAUGUGGACAGCUCUCAAACAAUUUCGAGCAGAUGGGAAGCAUGGAGAGGUUAGUAUAUACUCAUGUUUUGGUCUGCUCUGUCAUCAAAUAAUUUUCAUUCUGUGUUAAUUAUCACGUAACAUAAGGAGUGUUUGCUUGAUGAGCAUUCAUACCAAAUGAUGAACUAAUUAGAUCCUAGGUUAUCCAAAAGAUAACAUUGUGUUUUGCUUCAGUUGCCUGAUAGAUUUUCAGCCUUUGCGUCAAAAUGAUUUUAUGCAUUUGUUUUCGCACUACCUUGUAUUUUAUUUAAGGACAACCAUGCAUACAUGUAAAAAAACUCAUGGCCACUUGUGUGGUUGAUAUAAAUCAGUUAACAUCUCAAUUUCCCCAUGUGCUAUUGUAUGACUACGGAGUUUUUUUUUAACAUGCUCCCUCUUACCUCCCAUUUUCACAUGAGAUGUAAGAGUAUAAAAUAAAUCUGAGUCGUUGAUUGCAUUAGGUAGUGAACUUGAAUAAAUAUUACCUUCUUAACACCCAUGUGAAAAUAUGGGGUAAGAGGGAGCAUGUUAAAAUUGCUCAUGAAUGAGGGCAUGGCCAUAGCAGCGCUGCCUAUUCUAUUAACGGAACGAAUCCAUUAGAGUUCUCUUAUAGAAAUUCAUGACUGCCAUUGUUGAUGCUGAACCUAGGUGGCACUACCGCCAGUGGCGGAGCUUGAGCAUAAUCCAAGAGGGCCAUUACUUGAAGGGGAGAAAAUUAGUAGCAAACGAGGGGCUAAUCUCUAGCUUAAACACUAGUUAGACUUAAAAUAUUGUAUAUUCUUUUAUGGAUGCAAAAAUUAAGGGGGGCAUGGCCUCCGUUGGUCUACAUGAAGCUCUGCCACUGGCUGCCACACAUUCUACAGUGUUGUUAUAGCCAUUGACAGAAUCUUGUUUUUGCACUAUAUUCCAAUGGUCUAGCAGUGAUAAGACACCAAUUUGUCAGGAUCUCGACUUUUGGCCUUCUGCUAUGAUGCACUAAAGAUAUUGAUAAGUCUCGCCAUUCCUGGAUGUUGUGAACGUUACUGGACUAGAAUAAAUUAUUCUGGAGAAGGAUAUGGCGGCAUGACAAACCUAAACCACGAUGAUGCAAUGAAUAGAAUGUGAUCUAGAAUGACAUUCUCUCCGGGUGCACACCAGAGAGCAUACAAAUAGGGUCUGCAUGGAUGAUCAAAACACAUGGCAUCUUUUUGAGAAACUAACCCAUCCUUUUUUCUUUGAUCUACUAACAUUGGUUUCAAGUUAUUGGAGAAGUUUCUUGUAGUGAUUGGUUAAAAUAAUUCACACCUGUUCACCUAUUCAUGCUAUGUUUUACAAUUUGAUCCCGUAAUAUAGAUGAUGAUUAUCUAUUUUUUCUAAAAUAGUGCAUCUACCUCUAAUUCUUUGGCAUUGAACUAUNNNNNNNNNNNNNNNNNNNNNNNNNNNNNNNNNNNNNNNNNNNNNNNNNNNNNNNNNNNNNNNNNNNNNNNNNNNNNNNNNNNNNNNNNNNNNNNNNNNNNNNNNNNNNNNNNNNNNNNNNNNNNNNNNNNNNNNNNNNNNNNNNNNNNNNNNNNNNNNNNNNNNNNNNNNNNNNNNNNNNNNNNNNNNNNNNNNNNNNNNNNNNNNNNNNNNNNNNNNNNNNNNNNNNNNNNNNNNNNNNNNNNNNNNNNNNNNNNNNNNNNNNNNNNNNNNNNNNNNNNNNNNNNNNNNNNNNNNNNNNNNNNNNNNNNNNNNNNNNNNNNNGCUUUCAACCAAUAUGAGUUUGAUCUAACCCAGAUCAUCCUUCGGGCCGGGUCGGGUUCCAACGGGGCUUGACAAAGCCCGAAGUCAACAUUCCAAGCCCGAGCCCGGUUGGACCGGCCCGAAGCACAUGAACAAUGUCUUUUCAAUUAAACUAGUUAUAUUUGGGAUAUUAAGAUCAUAUAAUAUACCUAUAUUUUGAAUGAAAUAUAGAUUUGUUGCCAUUUCGGGCUUUUAGGCCGGGGUUCGGGCGAGAAAUUGAAGCCCAAGCCUAUCCCAGAUGCUGGGCUUCGGGCCUCUGGGCUGGGUAGUCCAUGAACAGGUUUAUUUUCAUCUAUUCACUCACAUUUGGAUCCUUGUUCAUCAUAGCAUUUAGCCAUAAUUCAUAUGAACAUGAACCACGGGAAUCUCUACUCCUAAUAUAUGAGUUGGUAGUCUCGUCUCACUCUGGUUAAUUCUUCCCCACCGUUUUCAUCCCACCAACGCAUUUAAACCGGAUUCUACACAUGAUCUAUUUAAACCGAUUUUAUCUGACAAUAAGAUCAAUUUUGGUAGUAUUUGGUAACCAUUUAUAUGGAAAGGAAUAAAUCAUGAUCAAUCUUUAAUCAAUUACUAAAGACAAAAUCUUUCCCUAAUAAUAAAGCACGGAUUGAGUCUGUCAGGUUCACCGUCACACAAUUUUCAAAAAAGACCCUGACGUUUGUAAUAAUCAACCCGCAGUCCACCAAAGCCCAAGCGUAAGUGAAAAAAAACGGUUCAUACGCAGCCCUCACUCGCCCGUCGCUGAAAUUGCUCCCCCAGUCCCCCGCACGAGAACCUCAUUUCUUCCGCCGCUGCGCCCCUAUCCCUCCGCCGCUGCCGUCCCUCCACUCUUCGGUGCCCGUCCUGGAUCUGAGGUCUCCAAAUCCAGACGAUAUCCACAGGAUCCGCCGCAUCUCCCGCGAAACCCAGCUGCGAGCUGCUCGUCGGCCAUGCGGGGAGCACGGACGAGCUGCUCAUCGACGUCCGUCCCACAGGCCCGGCGACGACGGUGCCCAGCGAAAUUAAGUCAUGCUUGCAAUUAUAUAAUCCUUCAAUCAAUAACUCUCCUAGAGAAACGAAUUUUUCUUAGGGGAAAUUAACUCAGUAGCAACCAGAGGGUGUAAAAAUGCGAGAGAUGACACUGAAAAAGUGUUGCAUCAUGACAGUAUCCACUAUUGUUUUCUCAGAAUAUUAUGGACACUUUUGGGGUUUGGCCCUUUUAGCUACGUAGUGACCAUGACCGCAUUUUUUCAUACCUAACAAAUUCGACCUUAUUGAAGCAGCCUCAUGAACAAAUCAGAGAUCAGACUCUAUGGUCUGUAGCCAACCGCUUUUUUCAUGUAAUUAUGUUAAGAAAAGAGAAACCAUAGCAUGCAAUGCCUACCAGCCAGCUGCUAAUAAGCACCUUCUCGAGCUCCUGUGAAUGUCUACGGUCAGCACACAGUCGCACAGUCAUUGGGGCAGCCGUCCAGUUUAUAGAUGGGGGCAUGGGGCAUAAUUGCACAGUUAAUACUAUAGUAAAUAAAUUAAUAUUCCAGUUACUAAUCUUUUGUGCAUUAUAUCAUAGAGCGUAGACAUCAGGUUUCAGUUUGACUCAUGGAUGUAUCAGGGACCUCUCAGGUUGAGCUUAGGUUUCAAACUUCAUGCCUGCAUAUACCGCCCAGUUCCGGUUGCUUGAGAUCACAUCCCUCACCUUCGCCCCAGUCUGCGGGUAGGAGUAGAGUAUUCUGAUCUAGAAUAUCUUCCUGUGGUUGUGGGCCUUGUGGCAACAGAAUUUUAGUUUUUCCGAUUGUUGUUGGACCCUACAGUUGUAAUACUUGAGCUCUAUCUAAACGUUUUUAUAUAUAGGUAUGCUUGCAUUGACACCUAAUCAGAAUAGGUUUUUAGAAUUAAUUCAUAGUUUGUUAACGAAAUUGGUAAACGAUUGCAGCCAUCUAAUUGGUGGUAUGGUGUGCUUCUGACGGUAUUUCACGGCGUUUGUACCAUCGGCAUAGUAACUAAAAACUCUCGUUAACACAGCUAUUUUAUCGUUUCUGGAGGGCCUCACGGAUGAGCUGUGGCGGCACCAUGACAGUCGUUUAGAGGAUCCGCGUGAACAAAUGAACAAGCAAAAUGUCAUCAGUCACAGCAUCCAUGCCAACUGCCCAAGAUGACCGCUAAGGCAAUUCAUAUUCUCUUUCAAUCUUCAACCACCAUCUGAUGUUUACUGAUCUUGAUCUUCCCCACUCGCCAUUCUGAAGACACUUCAGAUCUCACAUUAACUUCAUUCAGUCUUUAAGAAUAACCAAAGGUAUGUUACAAUAGCCUUCUUUAAAUAGUUUAAUCUAUAUUUUACAACUAAACAAACCUUCCAAAUGUGUCGAUAUCAUUUUCACUAAUAUGCAUCUCAAAGCUAUGGCUCAUACGCCCAUACAAGAAAGGACAACUGACUAGAUUGAGGAUACGUUAUGCAAGAAAGCUAUAUAUUCAUGGUAAUAUUAACCCUACUCUUGAGAGAGAGAGAGAGAGAGAGAGAGAGAGAGAGAGAGUCCAUCAGAGACAUGUAUACUCAAGGUUUUCUAGUUUUCUAGACAAGUGAGGGAGACGUGAGAGUGUUUUUAAAAGAAGUGUGUGAGAGAACUUGUGUGUCAGGAGAGCUUUUUACAGAUAGUUAUCCCAGGCAAUCUCGUAACCUCCCACGUCGCCCCCGCAGGCGACGGGGAGGAACCUAGCCCACGCCGAGCGCCUCCCCUCCCCCUCCCCUCCUCUGCCCUGCCGCCGCCACAGGGCGUGACCGGGCGAAGCCUGGCCAGCGCCGGCGGAGGCAGGGAUCUCUGCCCCCUUGCUCGUUGGGUCCGGUGCGGGCCGGAGUUGAUGGGCCAGGGCGUCGCGAUCUGGAGUCUUGCGGCGGCGCGUCUCGAUGUGGUGGGAUGCGUGGCAAAUCUCCGCAGGUGGCGCCCGUCUUUUGUUUGCAGCGGCGGUGACCUGGCCCAGAUGCCCCGUUUGAUGGCAACGGGUGGCGAGGGCUGCGCACGGCAUGAUACGGCGGCUGGUGCCAUCCUUUGGGUGGUGGUGGCCGGCAGUGAAGGUGGCCGGGGACUGAACUUGGGCCAUGAAGACAGCUCAUUGGAGAUCCUCGAAGAUCGGGCGGUUCCUUACGUCUUCUUGGCAUGACACCGGCCGGUUCCAGUCGGCUACGGGUCGGGUUGGUACAACCGCCGAUGAAAAUCGCGCCGACUUCGGUCUUGGCGGUCGAUGGCGGCGUCUUUGACGUCGUUUCCUUGUCGAGGCAUCGUCGUUGCGGUCUGCGCCAUAUCGCUCGUGCUGCUCCUAGGGAAACCCUAGAUCCGGGUCUCCCGGAUCAAACAAUGACAAAGGCUUCGUGACGUUCUCCCUCUCGAGGGCAUUGUUUUGGAGCACGUGCUGACUGGAGAGGCUACGAGUUGAUGUGGCGUGACAUAUACCGCAUCAACGGCGGCGGGUCUCGGUGGCGUGGCGCCGCAUGGUCUCGGCGAGAGAUGCGUGAUUGGACGCGCGCAGGGAGGUGGUGCUGUCUGGCGUCGUGGCGGCGUCGACGGCGGGCCUGGCAAGGUCAAUGCGUCAGUACUUGUUCUGAAGACGGAUCGGUGGAAGACGGCGGCGGCGGCCUCUCAGAGUGCGCCAAAUCGGUCUGUGACCCAGUCCCGGUAUGUGGCUGGGCUGGGGCACCCGACUUUAGAUGCUAGGCUUUGGUGCGCUGUCUGUUUGGUAUUCGGCUCGGACAGUCGGCACCCCUUCAUCACGGGGAUAGUAGUAGUGACAUGUGUUGUCUAGAUGGUGGCUUCAGGCUUACUGAUGUACUAAUACUUUGUAAGGUUUUUGUGAAUAAUUAAUAAAAUGGCUGCAUACAUCUUUCAGAUGCAGAGGCCGGAGGUUUAUCCUCCUUUUCUAAAAAAAAAAGGGAGAGCUUUUUAUUUUUAUAGUCAAAUCGUGCAGCAUGUGUGAGAGGGCGAGAGCGCGUGAGAUAGACAGCAUGCAUGUGAAAUAAUCGGGUGAGAGAUGUCCAACAAUCCUCCGGUGUCCACAUAGGCACAGAAACUAAGCCCGGUUAUUAGAACGGUCAGUUCUGACAUGCACCAGGCCAGCGCACCCAUCUUCAGGUUUUCGAAUGGCUGGAUAUACAAGUGCAUGUCGCGGGGCUGCAGCGAUCCAUAUAGCUACUAGUUUCCCUUUGCAUGCCCUAUUCGUGAUAUAUUUCUUUGUUUUAUGUACAUCUUUGCAAGCUUGCGUGGGCCUACUAUGCGGGGCACCUUUUCUGUAAUGCAAAUUCAUAUAUGCCACAUUUUUUUGGUAACGACCAAUAACUACGAAGAACUAUUUUAGUAAGUAAUAGAUUUUGACACAAAAUCUAUGGUUUUUUUUUUAGAAAAGAGGGAUGACCCCCGGCCUCUGCAUCCGGGAGAUGCAUACGACCAUUUUAUUGAUUAAUCUCGAGGACCUUACAAAGUAUUACAACAAUAAGUCUAAAUCCACCAUCUUGGCAACACAUGCCACUACUCCUACCCAAAAUGAUGAAGGGGUGCUAGCUGGGCCACUACCCAAACCACUCACCUAAGCCUAACAUCAAAAGCCGGAAACCGAAACAUAUUCGGAAUCCCCAGCCGAGCCACAUACCGGGUCUGGGUCACAAUCCGGUCAGACGCACUCAUGUGUCGUCGCUAUCAUCUUCCGCAGGUCCGUCUUCAGAUCAUAUUGAGGCUUCUACCUUGUCUAGCCACUCAGCCAUCGGCGUCACCAUGACGCCAGACAGCAACCUCCUCCUGCGCGAGUCCAUCUCCGCGCAUCGGGCGGCGAACCUCCACAGCGCCAUGCCGCCGAUCCUCGCCGCCAUCAAUGAGUGAGAUGAAGUACCGCUCCAUCACGGCAUGUACAUUAGUGCUAAGCGGAACGGCUCACAACCGCAAGUCAUCGAACGAAGGCGAAGAUCCAUGGAGAAGGCCAAAAGGGGCAUAGCCAAAGCGGUGGUCAGGGAUUGGACCGGGACCACGGCAGCCGCCACUGAGAAGAACAGGCUACCUCACACCGUCACCACGCCACCAGCAGCUCCACCCCACACGAGCAAUCCCCGGAAGACGCCUUCAAGAAGGAGCACGGCACCGGAUGCCGCCAUCGACCAUGCAAGGGGAGGGCAGGUCUUCACCUGUGCUCGAGGGAAAGGUGGGAGGGGAGAACCACACCAAGCCCUCCAGGAAGGACCACGGCGCCGAAGACGUCGCCUUUGGUGAGGCCGCCGCGCCGGCCAGGGGUUUCCCCCGGAAUCACGCCCAACCACCAGAUCCGUCCGUCCAGACCCCCAAGACGGCGACCGAAGCCACCAGGGGCUGGAGCAGGGCGCAGAUCGGAGCAGAUCACGGGCGGGAACGGAGCUUCUCCAGGAGCGCAGGACGACCCACGCGGGGGCGCCGCCUCGCCAACGCCCGCCACCCCCCCGCCGACCGCACGGCCAGGGAGGCAGCCCNNNNNNNNNNNNNNNNNNNNNNNNNNNNNNNNNNNNNNNNNNNNNNNNNNNNNNNNNNNNNNNNNNNNNNNNNNNNNNNNNNNNNNNNNNNNNNNNNNNNNNNNNNNNNNNNNNNNNNNNNNNNNNNNNNNNNNNNNNNNNNNNNNNNNNNNNNNNNNNNNNNNNNNNNNNNNNNNNNNNNNAGCACCCGCCGGCGCAGCCCGCCGCACCGGCCACGCCGGACACCUCCCAUCGGAGCCGCCGCCCCGGACGCCGUGGCCCUCCGCGAAGGCGAAGCCACCAGAUCCCCGCCGCCACCUUCAUAGGCGUCGCGCGGCCGGGCCGGCGAGCACCUCAGGCGGCGGCGGAGGGAGGGGAGAGGGAGGGGGAGGCGCGGAGGGGAUUAGGGUUCGCCCCCGGGUCGCCUCAGGCGAGGGGACGCGAGGGGACGCGAGCCGUUGAAGAUGAUGGGAUAAAAUGGGAGUACCCUCAGUGAUCUGCCACACAAAAUCUAUGGUAGUAAUGACAUUCUGAAUCUUUCCCCAAAGCUACCCACGUACAAUGGAUCCAGAUUUUAUACUCUAUAUAGAGACUGAAUUGUGUUUACAUAAUUGUGAAAACACAAGGAUAUAUAUUAGCAACGCUCUUUUUGGCAGCAAGUAAUUAAAACUUAAUACGUGGUAGCUGUACUUUGCUGGUGACAACAUUAGCUGUAGAAAGCAACACGGUUUGAUCGACCCCCCCCCCCNNNNNNNNNNNNNNNNNNNNNNNNNNNNNNNNNNNNNNNNNNNNNNNNNNNNNNNNNNNNNNNNNNNNNNNNNNNNNNNNNNNNNNNNNNNNNNNNNNNNNNNNNNNNNNNNNNNNNNNNNNNNNNNNNNNNNNNNNNNNNNNNNNNNNNNNNNNNNNNNNNNNNNNNNNUUUCUCUUCGUCUACACACUCCCACCUUGCUCUCAUAUCAGUAGGGGAAAAAUCAUCCCAGGGCUCCCUGCCAAGCAUAUCCCCGUUCUACCCUCCACAAACCAGGUUGGCUUUCAUCUACCUUCCUUGAAUAUAUGCUCCUCAUCCCAUUUCUGAUUCCUCAUUUUAUUAACUUGUUGGUAACUAGGGCAAGAUGGAUCUACGUGUUGAAAAAGCAGAAGAUUCGAGUGAUUCGAGUGAAAGAACUAUCAGCAAUAGUUCUAUGGGGAUCAGCAGUAGUUCCAUUGGUCCCGAUGGCCUUGAGAUUGAUUCUGCCUCCCCUGCUGGGAGGGCUGUUGUCAGCUCUGAAUCUUUACCAGUGGCACAACCCGGAGACUACAUAGAUAUACCUCUCCCUCAGUGGCUGAAGGAUAUAGAUUCAGGAGCAGGGAUGUGGACAGCUGUUAAACAAUUUCGAAAAGAUGGGAAGCACUAUGGCAAGGUUAGUGUACUCAUGUUCUUCUGCGGUCUUUCCACUAAUAAUUUUUUCUGUGUGCUAAUCCCUAAUCAUCUCAUAGCAUAUGGAGUGUUUACGUGAUGAGUAUUCAGACAAAAUGAUAAAUUAUUUAGAUUCAAAAAGAUGUGUUUUAAUUGAGUUAUCUUAUAAAUCUUUGAUCUUUGGCGUCCCAAUAAUAUUCUGCAUAAGUUUCCGCACUAGUUUGUACUGUAUUUGGUUUUGCACAACCAUGCAUAUAUGUGAAACAAGACAUAGGGCACAUUGAUACCAUGUUAUUAUAGAAUUCUCUUCUGUACUGAAUGGUUAAAAUAAUUAAAACCCACUCGACUAAUCAUGUGACGUUUGACCAUCUGAUGCCAUAAAUUCAAAAACGUAAUAUCAAAAUAAUGCAUUAACAAUAUGUAAUUAUUUGGUGUUCAACUAAACAAUUGAAUUUGCCAUAGUAUUUAACCCAGAAUUCAACCAGUGUGACUCUGAUCUGUCGACACACUUGAUGUCCACUUGUCAUAGCACUUAACCAUAACUUAUGAACAUGCAACACAGAAAUAUAAUAAAAGAAUUUUUAGUAUAGAAUGCUCGGUUGUCUGCUCUCACCGUAACAUUUUUCCUUAUUUUUAUAUUAACAACACAUUUUUUCAUUAAAAUAGUAAAUUUCUCCUUUUGUAUUCAAAUCAUGUAUAUGUCAAAUUAACUAUAUCUUUUUUGUUCAUUUCAGUACUACUUUCACAAGGAAUAUAGUCACAGGUUCCGCUCCAAACCCAACGUUUUAGAGUUCCGAAAAACAGGAACUGUAAAUGGGGAGCCAGUUAAGAAGGUGCCUAAAUACUUGACAUCAAAGCAUUUACUAAUUGUACAAACAUGUAUAUGAUUAUGUAUUUUCAUAUAUAUUUACAAGUGUAAAUUUAAUAUGGUAUUCUAUGUUUUGACAGAGAUCUGCUGAUAUUUCUACGGACAAUCAUGGUAUGCGUAAUUUCACCGAUGCAUUUGAAUAUAUUUCUCUAUUAUUACUGUGUGGAAUUCAAAAACUUACAGUGAAAAUGUAAUCCAUAUCAUGGAAAGAAAUGGACUUAUACAUGAACUCAACAUAAAAUAGUCAGUAGUGCAGUUACUCAACUUACACUAGUAGAAAAAGGGUCAAACGUGAAGCACAUUAGUGCCGGUUUGAUUUUGGCCCGGUACUAAUGGUAUCAUUAGUGCCGGUUCUAACGGAUUUGCAUUAAUGCCGGUUCGUGUUGAACCUUUAGUACCGGUUCGUGGCACGAACCGGUACUAAAGGGAUGGUGGCAGGCUGGCGUCAGGCCGGGGCCCCACGAGCCUCUUUAGUCCCGGUUUGUGGCACAAACCGGUACUAAAGGGCCAACCUUUAAUACCGGUUCGUGCCACGAACCGGCACUAAAGAGGUCUAACCUAUAGUCCCGGUUGGAGUCACAAACCAGGACUAUAGGGCAAUUUUCAAACUUGAAAAAAUCAUAACUAAAUCAUCCUAAUUCAGAAAAAUACAUAUAAUAUAUCAAAAUUUGCAGAACAAAAAGAUUGAUCCGCUGAAACAAAAUUCACAAACCAGUUUUCCGUUUCGACAAUUUUUUAAAAUCACAAAAUUCCAAAGGGAAAAUAGAGUUUUUGGGCGUUUUAGACGUUUUUUAGGCGUUUUUAGCGUUUAGUGCUAGGGUUUAGAUUUUAGAGUUUAGGGUUAGGUUUUAUGGUUUAAACCCUUAGUUUUUACUGUUUAGCAUAGAGAUUCCAACGUUUUAAGUCCCGGGUUUAGGGUUUAGGACAAUUUUUGAAAUGACAAAAUUGUAAAAGGAAAAAAAGAUAUGCUCUAAUUUAUGUUUUUUUGAUUUUUGGUUAAAUCUUGUCAAACCGGUCAAACAACUGAUUCAAGAAAUAUAGAGUGUUACUAAAUAAUUACGCAAUAAUAUUAGUGUUACUAAAUAAGUAUCUCAGUUUUUUUGAAUUUUGGUCUAAUCUAAACUACUUAUUCAAGAAAUAUUAGUGUUACUAGAUAAUUAUUCAAGAAUAUUAGUGUUACUUAAAUAAUUAUUUCAAUUUUUUGAAUUUUGGUCAAAUCUGGUCAAACUAUGGUCAAACUUAUUUAAGAAAUAUUAGCGUUACUAAAUAAUUACUGUUUUUUUUAGAAUAAUAGUUUCAAACUCAAACGAUGAAAUGUGUGACUUCAUGCUCAAGCUAAACUCCUGAUGGUUAAUAGGAUUGACAUCUUACUAUUGUGAGGAAAACAACAAGUGCAGACUCGGAAACGAAGAAAAAUAGAUCCUGAAAGUUAAGUGUGCUCGGGCUGGAGUAGUGAGAGGGAUGGGUGACCGGUCGGGAAGUUAGAUGAUUUGGAAUGAGUGAUCCACACUUGAGCAGUUAAGAGAGGUGAUUAGAGACUAAAUCAUCAAAUAAUUCAGAAAAAUUAAAAAUCAAAAAAAAUCAGAAUUUUUUUCCAAAAUUUUCAAAAAAAAAAUCAAAAAAAAACCUUUAGUACCGGUUGGUAACACCAACCGGUACUAAAGGUCUCCCCAUACCAGGGCACGAGCUCACGCCACGUGGUGGCACUUUAGCGCCGGUUCGUGCCGAACCGGUACUAAAGGGGGGGCCUUUAGUGCCCACACUUUAGUGCCGGUUCCAUAACCGGCAUUAAAGGCCCUUACAAACCGGUUUUAAAGCUCCGUUUUCUACUAGUGUUAACUUAAUAUGGAAUUGACAUUAUUUUAGGUUAUUUCGUUAGAUGAUAAAGAAAAUGGUUUAUAUAAAUGUUACAUAGGAACCUCCGCGUGAUUGCAGUUACAUAGUUUUACAAUGAUAUUACUUGUUUAAUUUCAUACAAUAUCUGUGUAUCAUUCCAUCUGGACGAACAAUCAUGCGGGGGACAAGUUCAAGAAAUGCUUCUAGUGAACAAGCAGUAAUUUUGUAUAACUCAUGGAGGAUGUAACUUGUUGGUGGUGUUAAAUACUUUGAAACCCUUGAAAUCUUUUGAGCUAGCAUUAUUUUUGCAAUUAUUUCACGUACAAAUGCAUACAUCAAGAUAUCUAUCAUAUUAGUGUGAAAACAUCUUCCGUGGUCUACUUGCACAUAUGCAUUAUUCUUUGAUAUUUUUUGUAUCACAGUUACCUUUUAUUAUAGCAAGAUAAAAAGUUUAUCUACCUACAAUGUCUGCAGACUAUAGACGGGCCACCAAAAGACAAAGGACGACGGCGCCAACUAUAAGUAAUCCUUCUUGCAUACCACAUAGGUUUCUCUGAUUUUGAGAGGGUAUCACUUGUAACGUUGUUCAAUAUUUAAAGUAGCUUCACAGUCAUGUAUGCUAGUAGUUAUUUUUAGAACAAUUUCAUGACAAAAUGCAAAAAGUCAACAAAAAUGUAUAGUUCCUGAUGAUUCCUAGUUGCAUGAUCACUAAGCAUUACACACCUUCUCUGGUAGAAGUUGUUAUCUCAAUAUGUAUUUAUUAUAUAUUAUUAUCUGUGAUUGUUGGGUGAAGAAUAUUUGCUGCUCAUGCUUAGAAUUUAUGCCUUUAUUAAUACAACAACAUAGAGAAAAAGAAAAUACAGAUCAAAAUAAAUCAUCAAUUUAAUAUUAAAUGUUUCUGACUAGUUUGAAUGGAUGUGUUAUGCAAUUAUAAUACUUCUAUGUUCAUAAUAUUUUAUCCAUAAAAUGUGCAGGUUCUAGUUUGACGACAGGAGGACGAACAACCCCAACUUCUACAAAACUUCCACAUGGUUUUGUCUAAUUUCAUGUAGAUCGCAUUGAGAUGUUCGAGAUUAUUUGUAGUGCCAAAAAUAUGUUGGGUGCAGCGUGAUUUGAAAAUUAAUAUGUACUUUCGUAAUAUAUGUGAUACUUGGUGGUGGUUGUUGAGGAAUAUAUUUCACUAGACUGUUAUAUUUUGCAUAAUUAUUUGACUAAUGAGUGCUUAUUUGAUAAAUGAGUACAUAUACCUUUAAUCCUAAAAAGAUUAUCAGCUAGACAUCCAUUCGAGGAAGUUGUGUUCUUAUGAAUUGUCCCCAAUAGGGAAUUUUGACAAUGGAAGACAGUCGUAGAACCUCCUGAUUAUUGCAGUUACUCAACUUCUGAUUUCUGAAUUCCUAAUCGUACCUAUUUUAGCCACUAUGAGUAAUAAAAGACACUUUCUUAAUGCAUGGGCAGGCUAAUACUAGUGCACCAACUUCAGUCGCACAAUGUAGGACACCCAUUCCUUAUCUGCCGUAGAAGACUGAAGAACGCCUUGUAGGAUUAAUCAUACGUGAACCACCAGCUGUAGGAUUAAUCAUUCCCUAAUAAAAAAAUCUAUAGGAUCGUUGACAUCUCNNNNNNNNNNNNNNNNNNNNNNNNNNNNNNNNNNNNNNNNNNNNNNNNNNNNNNNNNNNNNNNNNNNNNNNNNNNNNNNNNNNNNNNNNNNNNNNNNNNNNNNNNNNNNNNNNNNNNNNNNNNNNNNNNNNNNNNNNNNNNNNNNNNNNNNNNNNNNNNNNNNNNNNNNNNNNNNNNNNNNNNNNNNNNNNNNNNNNNNNNNNNNNNNNNNNNNNNNNNNNNNNNNNNNNNNNNNNNNNNNNNNNNNNNNNNNNNNNNNNNNNNNNNNNNNNNNNNNNNNNNNNNNNNNNNNNNNNNNNNNNNNNNNNNNNNNNNNNNNNNNNNNNNNNNNNNNNNNNNNNNNNNNNNNNNNNNNNNNNNNNNNNNNNNNNNNNNNNNNNNNNNNNNNNNNNNNNNNNNNNNNNNNNNNNNNNNNNNNNNNNNNNNNNNNNNNNNNNNNNNNNNNNNNNNNNNNNNNNNNNNNNNNNNNNNNUGGUUUCUGGUCGUACGUCAUAAAAACUACCCUCGAAGUUGGUAAGAAUUACCCACCAAUACCACCCGUAAGUGGCAAAAACGAUUAGGUGGCCGCUGGUUGCGUUCAUGUACAGCUAGGCCCUUGCAUUGUCAAAAAUUACACAAGUAGCCGAUUGGUUAUUGCACAACUCUCCCAGCAGGGAGACCUGGGUUCGAUCCUCAGCUUUGUCCCAUUUUUCUGCCUUUCCCCAGCUUCGGCCCAGCUCAUUUUUUCCCGCAGAUUCAAACAUUAUUUGAAAAAUUCAUAUCUUUUAAAUGCUAACUCUAAAUUAAAUCUCGAGCCUCAUACUAAACUUCGUCAUACGCAUGACCCCCGUGCAGAUCAUAUCUGCAAUGCCCUUUCAUAUUCAUAUCUUUUAAAUGCUAACUCUAAAUUAAAUCUCGAGCCUCAUACUAAACUUCGUCAUACGCAUGACCCCCGUGCAGAUCAUAUUUUUUAAAUGCUAACUCUAAAUUAAAUCUCGAGCCUCAUACUAAACUUCGUCAUACGCAUGACCCCCGUGCAGAUCAUAUCUGCAAUGCCCUUUCAUAUUCAUAUCUUUUAAAUGCUAACUCUAAAUUAAAUCUCGAGCCUCAUACUAAACUUCGUCAUACGCAUGACCCCCGUGCAGAUCAUAUCUGCAAUGCCCUUUCAUCUGCGAAUUUCAUCUUUCUUUUGACUACGGCAGAACCCAAAGAACUGAUAGCACUUCUAUGAUCAAUCAGGAUCACGGAUUGCUAGAACUUUGUCAAAUUCCACCAUGCUGUCUCGAGAUUGAGCAAACGCAAAUUCUAGGGAAGUAACAAGAACGUCGGGUAACAGAUUUCAUCUGUCACCCGCAUAAAUAAUUUUUAGCAAUAGAUCUCAUCUACUACCUAAUUAUAUUAUACAAUACCCAUACAUCUCCAUGUAUUCUAUAUCGAAACCUGCAUCUACGCAUAGCACGGCUCUUGAUGUCACUGUAGGGUAACGCAGCAGAAAACAAAAAUUUUCCAACCUACGCACCAGCCCAGGACCACUAUGAAGACUGCAUACAUGGUUUGAUCCUUUUCGUUACCGACUCGUAGCGCAGCGGGAAGUAGAGUCGAUGACGAUCGGCGGUGCAGAUCCCCGCAGCUAGGAUUUACAACCUCCCAACCGCGAGGAUGUAUACCCUUAUCCGCCCCACGGACAGCCCUCCGGGAGGCGGUCGGACAGUCCCUCGGACGGUGUCGCGGACAGCCCUCCGGGAGGACCCUCAAAACUCGGACGGUCACUCGGACAGCCCUUCGGGAGGAUUCACAGAACUCGGACCGUCACUUGGACAGCCCUUCUGGAGGCACUCUCAAAACAGCCCCUCGGGCAAAAGGAUCGAAACUACGACCUCUACGGGGUUGCACACAUACGGUGUCAUCUAUCCGGCAGGGCUUCGCCGUCUAGAACUAGUUCCUGCCGGAACCCAGACAGCCUUACAGCUCUACGAAACUCUUUUCGUGGGAGGGAGAGAAGAAGCCACAUAAUGCAUGGCAUGUGUAUGAGAGCAAGGGAUGAUCCUUUAGGCAGCCCCCUCCACCCCUAUUUAUAGGCCAAGCCCAAGGGUGGCUUCUCCAAGAAGCCAAGGGGGGAAAUACCAAAAAGGCCCUAAAGGUGGCUUCUCCAAGAAGCCAAGCAAAAAGCACUUUCACUAUUCAUGACGACAUUUUUCAGUGUCCGUUCGAACUGAAAAUAUUUAUGUGGGCUCAGAACAUUUCCAGUACCCACUAAAACUAUUUUCAAUGCGUUUCGAAACAAUUUCAGUUUAGUGAUUUUCAUCUGCGAAAAGCAAACAAGAAUGUGUUUUCACUAUUCAUGAAGACAAUUUUUCGCGUCCAUUAAAUCCGAAAAUAUUUCUAUGGGUCUUAGAGUAAUUCCAGUACCCACUAAAAUGAUUUUGGAUUCAUUCUGAAACAAUAUCAGAUAAGUAAAUUUCAUCUGCGAAAAACAAGCAAAGCGGUACUGGCAGCUCCGGAACAUUUCCGGUUUUUAUCCCAAAAAAUUCAAAAAAGCUUCCAGAAUGAUUCUCGCAUCCUCCAAGAAUUAUCAGGCAUGUGCCAAAACCAAUUUGACUUAAUGGUAUAUCCCGAAACAACUUUUCGGUAUCAUCGAAACUUAUCCGAUGACCUCUCUCUGCGGUACGAUUCCGCUGUCCGAAACUUUUCCGGUGUCCUAAACUUUUUCGGUGAUUUUCUCUCAAACUCCUUGUCUAGUAUUCAACAGAUAGAUGACCCUUAAGCGUGUGACCCUAUAGGUUCGGUGAAGUAUAGACAUGACCGGAACCCUUUCCAAUCAAUGAUCAACUUCGGAGCCGUGGACACCCAUAUUGACCCCUAUACCCACACGAAUGAAUAUUCGAGUGAACCUCCAGUUGCCGUGUGCUAUUCUUGUUGCUUCGCGAUAUGUUACAAAUACCCGAGGUGAGACAUGUUGGCAUUCCCGUGGAUCAACAACUUGUCCACUAUGCUAGUUACCUCGUUACGGGUAUUGUUCUCUUUUCUUGUUUCUAUGUUCCGGCAUCCCUGUGAUCAAAUCACAAAGUGUCUGGCCAGACGAUGAUGGAUACCGUAACACCGCGAGGGCCCAGAGAUAUCUCUCCAUCGUCGGAGGAGCAAAUCCCAAUCUUGAGCUAUUAAGUUACUUUACAUACUUUUCCAUGAACCCGUAAGCCGCCGUACUAGCCACCCAUUUACGGAUGACGUUUAACAAACCCCAAAGUUCAUGAAGCAAGCAUGAAGAAACUCGAUACUCUCUACCAUUAACUUCUGACGAAUGUAUCUCAUAGCAUAACAUCAAUUCGGGUCGAUUCAACACAAAUGUUCUUUUAACAUUGUGCCCUCAAAGUUGCUGGCAUUGACAUGCCCAUGAUCAGGAAAACAGAACCAUCAUGCAACACUUGAGCUAGUCUUAGAGGCUAGACUAAGAAUACUUCUUACCGUUUUUUAUUCCACACGUGCAUAUGAGUCUUCCUCCGAGCCUCGUGGAUAUUGCAGACUCGAGAAUCAUUGCAGUUAUAGCAUGGAACAUAAACAUAAUUAUGAACUCGGAGAUAAAUAAUGUCAUUUAUUAUUGCCUCUAGGGCAUAUCUCCUACAAGAUGCAGAGGCCGGGGUCAUCCUCUUUUUCUAGAAAAAAUAUUGAGUAGAAAUCAGCGCCAGCAAGGGCCAAACCCACCAAGAAAAGCAGAAGGCAUGCAUCCAUUGCUAGCCCGCGGUCAGGCUCCCAGGAUUAGGCCAGAUAGAUUUGCGGAUUAAUCAUGUGCGCCCAAGACCAAGCAGAUUUAGUUUAGGCUAUUUUUCUGGUAAAUAAUUUAAUGACUAACGCGUAUAUCAGUUCUUAAGUUAAGUAAUAAUUUGCUAUAUGUUUAUCGAUCAGCCGAUGCAUUCUUUAUAGAAGAUAGUUGGUAUAUCAUCUUCUAUGAAUGUUUUUUCAGAAUUUUUUGAAUUUUUUUCUGUAUUUUUUACUGUUCAUAGGGUGUAGAUGAUCUAGAGCUCAGAAAUGAAUAUUUGCCUCAGUUCAUCCUUUCAAAAUUCCGACAACAUAAGCAACACAGUUGUCCUAAUGGUUUAGAAAAACAUUGACAUUGUAUCAUGUGAUUCAUGUCCAUAUGUGCAACCAUCGAAGAGUGGCUUCCAUUUCUACACCCAUGCAAAGAUGUACCCCCCCCCCCCCUCCUCUAAACCCAUGACUGAAAACAUAGCAAAACAAAUAAAAAGAUCAAAAACUUUGUAACUUCGAUUAUGACCAAAUGUUUUACGCGCAUGCAAAAUUACGUGCCCAAAUGACAUCCGAGGAGCUAUGUAUAAAAAAACAAAGUUUGUGCUCAAACGUAUGUGCACUGUUUCAGCAGAAUUUGUAUUGCAUUUGUAUGGCGAUCAUUUGAUGUUAUUUGGCCACCAUUCUUAGCAUGCACCAAAAACAUGUAUUCAUAAUCAAUACCACGAAGUUUCAGUUUUAUUUUUAUUUAUUUUUUAUAUUUGUCUUGAUUUUACUGUACAUCAUGGGGGUGCACGAACUUGAGUGUAGCGACUAACACUAGUAGAAAACAGGGCUUUGGUUCAGGGCCAAAUAAGGGCAUUAAUCCCGUUUCCCUUACGAACCGGGACCAAAGGGUGCAUCAGUCCCGGUUCGUGAGGCCAGGGCACCGACCGGGCCUCGGGGGCCAUUGGUCCUGGUUCGUCUGACCCCUUUGGUCCCAGUUCCAGACACGAACUGGGACCAAUGGGCCUCACUCCUGGCGUAGCACCUUUAGUCCCGGUUGGUGGCUGGAACCGGGACUAAAGGUGAGCCUUCUAUCCCAGUUCUAGCCACCAACCGGGACUAAAGAGAUGCCUAUAUAUACCCUCGCCCCUGCCCACCCUCUCCUCUGUUUUUUGGCCGUGCGGGAGGUGUGCAUGCACUGCUUUGUUCUCCCUUCUAUGCAUGCACAUGAGGUGUUUGAUGAAAUGCCGAGCCACACUUAAGCUUUCUCCUCUUCAAACUCUACCUCCAAGGUUCAUUUUCCUCAAGAUUUGUCUAGGCUUGGCGGUCCGUCCCAUCCCGUCCCGUCCCCGUCCUCACCGCUGUCGAUCGCCCGCGCCGAUCUCGUCACCGGCACCACCGUGGUGAGCCUCUUGUUCUUAUCUUUUUUCUAAAAGAAAAUAAUUAUUAAUUGUAUGAUUUAUUUAUUUUUCACGAAUACGCAAAGCUUGCGUAUCAUUGCAUUGAUAGAAGAAAAGCAGAAUGAGUACAUAAGAUGGUACAACACAACACGAACGCAUACAUGAGAAGGCGUGGACAUGAGACCCAGAGCAGAGGGACGGGAUGCUCAGCUCGGACAAAGAGAAAACACAACUAAAUCACCAAACCAAGCCUAUCUAGAGGGGCAACCCGAACCGGCUAGGUGACGAUCAUCUCCAACACCAACACCGGGGACGCCGUGAGCAAACAAGAUGACGCCUUCAAGAAGGGGCACGACAUCGUGACGCCGCCGCCAUCCGAUCCGAAGAACUGGACCAAGGGUUUCCCCCAGUGCUCGAAGAGGGGCACGAGUACAGGCCAUCGCAGCGCCUCCAAGAAGGAAAACGACACCCAUGGGUGCCGUCACUGUCAGCAUCAGCAAGCCGAUCAGGGAUUUCGCCCUGGCCUGAGUCCGAGCAAUCCCAUUGCCGCGGAUCAGGGGCCGAAGAUGAGGAAGUCGCUUCUCUAAUCGAGAUCGCCACCUCAGGAGGGGGUUGGUGGGGUUGCGCCAGCCGUAGGUGGGUGGCAUCUGGCGAGGACAAAAAAACACAAGCUUUGGGAUUGGCUCGCCGUGGGGGUGGACGGGGUCAAAGGGCGGCAGGGCCGAAAAAGCCGACGCGGAGGACGGAAGGCAAUUGACGCCAUCGACAAGCUAGGAGCCGGAAUGGGACGCAAAUCCAAGCUGCCGAGGACGAAGCCGCCUGGACGCCGGCAAGCCGAAGGCUGGAGAGACGCAGCAAUAGGAGCGCCGGCGCCCGAACCGCAGCGGCAAAUGACACAGGAAGGCUAUGGACAUUGGAGUGGAGAACGCAGGUCCAAAACUGCCAGGACCAGAGCGGUGCCGACAAAGGGUCCACCGCGAGGCCUCAACUGCAUGCCAAGGAAGACCACAACAGCACACAAAUCGGACGAAAUCAACACCGCAGGUCGGAGGAUUUAGAUAGAUACUUGUAUAAUUUUCUUACUUUUAUUAUUGUUUUUUAGAACUUAUUUUUGUUAUUGUUUGUUAUUAUAUAGUGCCAUGGUUUUGUUAUCCACCCCUGUCGGCGCUCGUCCUGUCUAUGAUUCAGAUGUGGUAUAUUAUCUUUUAUAACUAUUUGUUUCAUUUAGUGUUCAUGACAAUUAUGCCGACUAACGUGAGAUUGAUGUUUUUAUCUAGGAGGUAUGUGAACCGGAAAUUCCAACCGACCCUCUUGUCGAGAGGUUAAAUUUAGUUAAAAAAGAAAACAAUUACUUGAAGAAGAAAAAUGAAAAGAAUUGAGAAGGAGAAGAUGGAAUUGGAGUUGCAUGUUGCGGAUGUCGUCGAUGAUCACAAGAUCAAGAUGAAUGCAAUGCGCUUGAAGAUUAGAAAGAUUAGAAAAUAUGCCACUGAUACUGGGCUUAAAGAACUAGCAGCAUGCUCACAAAAUGAACAUUGCUAAUGAAUACCUAGGAGCGUGCACAUGAGGGUAUGCUGCUAAGUUGGUCUCAGAUUUGAAAACAAAGGUGCUGCCUGGCUAGCGUUCACACUAGCAGCGUUCACCUAGCAGCACAAGUUACUAGAACUACACUAUAUUAUGUCAUUCUAUGUAUGCUACUACAACUACACUAUAUCUCUCAAAUCGGACAAUUUUGUAUAACAUUUUGAAAUUUUAACCAGAUAUUCUAAUGAUCACAAGAUGACACCAUGUAAAGUUUGUUUUGUUUAGACAACACUUACAACUUUUGGUAAAUCUGCUUAAAAUCCUGAAAUUCUGUUAGCAGCGAGUCAUUUUCUGGCGAACGCUGCAAACCUUGCAUCUAGAAUCAUGUACAUUACAUCACAUGCUAAUUUCAUAAAAUAUAUUAUCUUGUUAGAAAAUAGCAAAUCCAUCUCAUAUAAAUUCAAUAACUGGAGAUGCAAAUUUGAUUUGUCUGCAUUACAUGUAUCCAAGAUUUUUUUUGUCAUAAAAAUAGCAAUACUACCUCCCCCUCUCUCAGGUCGGACAUUCCUCCCCCCCUCGAUUCUAGGAAUCUCCCCAUGGAUAUCGACAGGUUUGUAAGGAACAUAUGUCAUAACUAUUGUGUAACACGUUGAAAUUUCAAUCACAUAUUCUAGUGAUCACAUGAUGACACCAUGCAAAGUUUAUUUUGUUUAGACAACACUUAUAUCUUUUGGUAAAUCUACUUGAAAUCCUGAAAUUGUAUUAGAAGCAUACCAUUUCUUGGCAAAUGUUGUAAACCUUGCAUCUAGCAGUGUGUCAUUUCUUGGCAAACGCAGCAAACCUUGCAUCAUGUACUUUGUAGCACAUGAUGCUAACUUAAUAAAAUAUUUUAUGUUGUGGGAAAGUAGCAAACCCAUAUAAAUCCAAUAAUUGGAUUUGAAACUUUAAUUUGUCUGCAUUACAUGUAUGCAGGCUUUUAUGUCACAAAAAUGGCAACACUACCUUGCCCUCUCUCAAAUCAGACACUACCACCACCCCUCUCUCAAAUGGCAACACUUACAACUUCUAAAAAUAUUCUAGUGAUCACAUGACAGCACGCAAAGUUUAUUUUUUCAGAAAACACUUACAACUUCUAAAAAUCAAAAACCGAUUUCGAUGUCUGUUUAAAUAAUCCCAACAAAUGUUUGGACUUAUCAUCAAUCCAUCUAAGAACUAAAAUAUACACUAAAAAACUUGUAUACCAUGGGAUUGGCACAUAAUUGUGGGUGAAGUGUCUAGCAGAUGGCCAGUCACUGGAAGAUGCAAGUUAGCAGUGCUCAUUUGCUAGACACACUGGUAAGGUUUAACCAUUUAACUGCCCGUCCACUUGAGUUGAGGAAAAUUCCCCAAAUAUCGAUCAAGAUAUCAUCUUUCUUCAACACAAAUACACAAAAGAUAUCCCUUUGAAAUGAACUAAGUUAGGCAAGGCUUUUAUCUUCCAACUCUCCAAGUUGUUGUUUAACUUAACAAACUACCUCAGGGAUAUCAAACACAGAUUCUUGGAGAAGUGGUGGUUUAUAAGAAAACCAGCUUCAUCACGAGCUCAACAUAACGGCCAGGGGACAACUUGGUGAUAAUUCCAGGAAGAUAUCUGGAAAAUCUUGAACCACCGAUAUGUUAUGAAGCUCGAGAACAAUCUUGCCUUUCAGGGCAAGACGACAUGAUCAAAAGAGUGAGCGGUUGACACAAUCAUAACUCCUUGAUCGAAGUGUGCACCAGAAAUAAGGACUAGGUAGCACGAUCAAUCUUAGAAUGAUAAUUCAAUAACCAACACGCUAAGAAUGAGAUCCUUGUCUAUUAACUAUCAAGCGUCGUUGCUAGGAGUAUUGAUUUCACACAUCACAUUUCAUUUGUCGGUAUUCCGGUUGCAACAACAUGGGGAUCGAGGAAUGAAUAAUUACCACGUGAGCCGGCUGGCGCAUGGGGCCAGUCGGUCACGCCUCAUUGGCCACACGAGGACUUGCUUGGUGCCACUUGCGUGGGUGAGCGUGGCGCAUGUUGCUUGGCCCGAAAGAUCCAUCCGACUACGGUUUCGUUGUCUAGACACCCGGGCAUGAGUCCCAUCUAGAUAGGGUCAUGGUGACAAUAGGACAGUAUGUCGCGCUCGAUGUUGUCUGGUUGGUCGUCCUGUCAUUUCACUCGGCCAGCUGGAGCUGUCUCGGAAUGGAUGGUUGGUUGCUCGACCUGACACGCCAUUUGUUUUCAUGGGUAUUUUGGUCUUUGCCUUAGGUCGGUUGAGGUUUCUUAUAAGUUAUUUUCUUACACCGCAAGUCGGUUGUCGUGUAUGUUGGUCUCGCUUUCACUUAGUUUUGCUCCUGCUAGCAGUGGCCCUAUCUUUGAGGUGAAAAGUCUUUGGCGGCAAAGCCGGCGUUCGCAGGGCCACAAGUCCGUGCCCGAGGCCAUCAUCGUGGAAGCCGGUGUGGGCGCCUAGCAGUGUCGUGUCGCACCUAGGAGUGUUGGCUAUGGGCAUGUUGAAGUCGUCCAGCUUCACGACGUUGGUGGCCUUCUCAAGAAAGGCAAUCACGACCUCCUGUUAGGGAUAUAAGUUGCCUUUCUAGACGGUAGUCGCCGGUACCACUCGGAUGUGCUUGUUUCUGCAAGACUGCAAGGUGGCGUCCAUUUCACCGCUUCUGUUUUGGGUCGGUGUCCCCUUCGUUCCAUUGUUCGUGCUCUUGUUUUUUUCUUUAGGCGUAUUUGUCGCUGCGACGUUGCAUCAUUCUUGUAUGUGCCAAGAACAUGAAAUUCCAUGUUUGCUGUUGUCAAUGUUCUAUAGCGGCGUGUGGUUUUGUUGCUUUCAGAAACUUCAUGGUUGUAUGUAGUGUACUUUAUUAUGUAAUUGUUAAUCGGUAGGUGCUUUUUCCGAGCCAGUUGCACAACUUGAGUUCACUCGUUUAGGUAUCUGCAGGGCUUGCUGUUUGUGUAUGCUCACUUACCGCUCACAGCGUCCCGUUGCUGCACAAGACACAAAACCACCUUGCCCAGUCUAUGUCUGCGCGCACUGGAUUAUAGAAGUAAUGACCCCUGGUAAUGGUGUCAGAAGCCCGAACGUUGCCCGGACCCAAAGAUGUUUGGCUUGCCCGGGCACCUAGGGGCUUCCCCCAACUUUCCGGCCUGGUGCAGUUGUAUCCUAUACUUUACUAGAAGAACGCCCAUGCGUUGCAACGGGGCCACAUUAACUUUAAGAGUUCAAUAUUACGACAUUGGCGACCUUUUUUACCAUCAAAUCCUCACACACACACAGACACACACUCUCCCUCCGUCUUCCUCACUCUCUAUCCCCCUCUCCCUCUCUCUCUAACACACACACAUAUCCAUCUUAUUGGGUACGGGACCAUAAUCCAUCUAUUUCACACAUACACGCUAGUGCACAACAAUAUGGAUUAUGUGUAUUAUAUUUGCCACCAGAACUGAGGGAAUUAAUUUCAUGUAAAUCGACCAGCCACAACUCCAAGAAUACGCGGACGAGGUGGCUCGGGUCGGCGUCGGCGCCGUCCAGCGCGGGCCACGGGCCCGCUUUCAAGUGCACGUGCAAUGCAUGUCUUCACAAAUAUUAUAACCAGAUGUGAGAAAUCACAUGUAUAAAAAAGACAUUCUGAUAGUAAUCCAAAUACCAUACUCAAUUGAAUACCUAACCUGGACAAUACUCUUAUUUCUAUGCGCCAAAAAAAAUGGAAUAGCAAAGCUAAGUAUGCCUACAUACGCUCAGAUUAUAUAUAAGAAUCUUGCGUGAACAAUUGCAACAAAGCACUAAGCAGCGAUAAAUUUAAAUAAAAAAUCCAUUAACUAUGCAGGCAACAGGCUUGUUACAACAUAGAGAGAUAGGAAAAUGUCACCUCCAGUAAUGUAGCGCAAAGGAGUGGAACGAAGCAUGAAUGAGCGGUUGUCUGUUCUUCUCCAUGUACAUGGAUCAGCAGUAGAGGCCAAGUAUAUAAGUACUUGACCGAACUCCACACUCCACUCUUCGUGUACGGAGAGCCAUGUCACCUUCUCGCCGCUGCAGCAUGGGAGGACGGCUGGUUCACGUGACCCUCCAGCUGGGGGAUCCAUGGUGGCUGACCGUCGAGCUCGAGGCGGAGAAGUUGAGGGCAGUAGUGGCGAGAUCCAUGCCGGCCAACCGGGCGAAGAGGAGGUCGUCGGGGAGGGACACAUCGGCAAGAUCCGGUCACCACGCGACCUGAAGAGCAACAGUGAUCUCCACAAGCUGUAGGCCGACGGCGUGCUCCAUCCCCUGCGAUGGGGUGACCAUGGCGGUGGCCACAGCUCCUCAUGCUCGCCUCGAUCUUGGCGACACACCUUGAGUGUAGGAGGCAGCAACGACCUCGACGAAAUCAUGGCCUCCAUCCCGGAACGCAAUCAUGUCGCUCUAAAUAAAUGGAUUCAAUCAUGUGACUCUAAUUACUUCGGAUUGUUAUGUGCACACUAAGCGGGGUGUAGUUAGGAAAGAAAAUAUUCUCUAAUUAAAGUGAUUGAGUGAAUUAAGGUAAGGUUAAUUAAUUUAGAUUUGAUUUUUAGUGAUUGUUAGUAAAGUACGAUGCGUCUUUAAAAUCUUUUAUUUGUUUCCUUAAAAUAUAUUAUUUGUUUCCUAAAGAAAUUUACAAUAAUGAAAGAUAUCGGUUGAUUUGGAUAAGUUAGUAAAUUUAAAUCCGUGAUUGCGUGCACGUUUGGAAAGUGUUGAUCUCCACAAGCUGUAGGCCGACGGUGUGCUCCAUCCCCUGCGAUGAGGUGACCAUGGCGCUGGCCACAGCUCCUCAUGCUCGCCUCGAUCUCGGCGACACACCCUGAGUGUAGGAGGCAGCAACGACCUCGACGAAAUCAUGGCCUCCAUCCCGGAACGCAAUCAUGUCGCUCUAAAUAAAUGGAUUCAAUCAUGUGACUCUAAUUACUUCGGAUUGUUAUGUGCACACUAAGCGAGGUGCAGUUAGGAAAGAAAAUGUUUUCUAAUUAAAGUGAUUGAGUGAUUUAAGGUAAGGUUAAUUAAUUUAGAUUUGAUUUUUAGUGAUUAUUAGUAAAGUAUGAUGUGUCUUUAAAAUCUUUUAUUUGUUUCCUUAAAAUCUAUUAUUUGUUUCCUAAAGAAAUUUGCAAUAAUGGAAGGUAUCGGUUGAUUUGGAUAAGUUAGUAAAUUUAGAUCCGUGAUUUCGUGCACGUUUGGAAAGUCCUGAUUUGCAAGGAAAGAGCUGAGGGGUAAAUAAACCGGUGAAUAAGAAACCAUCAUCGAAAAAAAUCUACGACGGUUAACCUACGGAAAAAAACCGGACGAAAGUGGUGGGACGAAAAAAAACCUGGAAGCGAGACUACCAACUGCUCCAUUAGGAGUAGAGAAACGCUGGGCCAGAGAUCAACUGGGUAGGCACAACAGAGCCAAAGGACGGUGUCCGGGAAGCGUACAUGCUGGCAAUUGGCCUGGAAAGCAAAGCUGGUUUGCAUCCGAGCAAAAUUACCAGCUGAGGGCUUCUUUGGAUCACAGGAUUAGAAAACAAAGGAAUUCCAAAAACACAGGAAUUUGACGGGAUUGUAGGUGCAAAACAGAGGAUUACAAAAUGGAGGAAAACUACAAGAAUGGUCAUUUGGAUGGAACACAGGAAAAACACAGGAAAAGUGCCUCGAUCCUACGCGAAUCAGUGUAAAAAAGAGGUUAUAGUGGAUGUUGAAAUUCCUAUAGGAUUGAGGUGUAGGAAUGCAUCCAUAGGAAUUUUGGAGGUGUGGUUCCUUUGAUCCAAAGGGCUUCUUUAGGAAAAAAUCUAAUGGAUUGGAAUCCUCCAAUAUUCCUAUGAAAAUCCUUCAAUCCAAAGAGGCCCUGAAAUGACGCAUGGCACACUGUGUAUCCGUCGCCCACGAGCUUUCAUGCGGACGGCCGGGCAUCUGGAGAGCACACUCAUCGAUACUUAUCAUGGGGUCAGGAGUCGAGUAGGGAGGAAGCAAGAAUCCCGAGUAGUGAUGAAACUAGCCGACCAGCUAGCUUUUGGCACCGCAUCUGCAUCAACCAGCUUGACCCAACAUCGGGCCUUCCGUACUUCCUGGCAACCGCCUUCCUGGACGGGCAAUACACUAGCUUCGUACGGCCACACCGCCAACCUGCUGAACGGAUGCACCCAUCAAUAGUAGGGAAACCCCUUGUAGGAUUUUACUAGCAGCAGCCAAAUUUUACUCGUCUCAAGAAAUAUCACGCGGACAACCCUAGAACGGAUGCACACAUCCCUAGAACUACAGGGGGACACUAACUUUGCCAACUACCACCGGCGUCCAGAGAGUAAGCGCCGCAAAACAGCAGAUGUUUAGAUUACUUCGACACUAGUAGCGUCUAGAGAAAAGAAACGCUUGUAGUGCUGCAGACCGAGCCAGCUAUUUUGUCGCGAAGGGAAAGCAGCAUUUCGAGAGAGUAAGCGCCGCAAGAUGGGAAACUAGCAGUGCUCCAUCUUUUCUCAACGCCCCAAAACUAACUUGCAUCCAUACACCGGCCGACCUCAUUUGUGGGCUUAAACAACUAGCAGCAUGCCCACAAAAUGAAUGCUGCUACUGGACAUACACCUAGGAGUAUGUACAUGACGGAACACUGAUAAGUUGGUCUCAGAUUUCAAAACAAUGGUGCUGCCUUGCUAACAUUCACACUAGCAGCGUUCACCUAGCACCACACGCUACUAAAACUGCAUUAUAUUAUAUUAUUCUACGUACGCUACUACAACUACACUUUAUCUCUCAAAUCGGAUAAUUUUGAGUAACACAUUGAAAUUUUAACCACAUAUUCUAAUGACCACAUGAUGACAUCAUGCAAAGUUUAUUUUGUUUAGACAACAGUUACAACUUUUACAAAUCUGCUUAAAAUCCUAAAAUUAUGUUAGCAGCAUAUUAUUUCCUGGCAAACACAGCAAACCUUGCAUCUAGCAGCAUGUACAUUACAACACACACUGCUAAAUUCAUACCUAUAUUAUGUUGUUACUCCCUCCGUUCGGAAUUACUUGUCUCGAAAAUGGAUGUAUCUAGAACUAAAAUACAUCUAGAUACAUUCAUUUCUGCGACAAGUAAUUCCGAACGGAGGGAGUAGAAAAUAGCAAACCCACCUGGCCGUGGUUUUGUCACGGCAGAUGUCAUAGCAAAAGGACUUAAGCGUGAAGCCAUCGCAACGGUGAUUAGCUUGUCCAGGUUGAGCGGGACAAAAGAUACAGGUUUACCCAGGUUCGGCCCCUCACGGUGGAGGUAAAAGCCUACUCCUGCUCUUGUUGCUAUUGCUUGAGUAUCGAUUACAAGGGAACGGAUUCGCUUGACCUAGCUAUCGAUUGAUAGUAAACUGUCUAUUUUAUGCCGGGGACUCGCCUUUAUAUACAGGUCAAGGCCGCCGGCUUACAAGAGUCCGGGUCGGGUUAUGAUACGUGACCGAACCAUACUCUAAGUCGCCCUGCAUUACAAGGUAGAUCACUACAUGGCGUGUUACACCUCGGGGCUAUCUUUUGACCCUCAGCCUAAGUCGGCCCAUCUUCUGAGCCGUCUCCUUAAGGCCACGUCUUGACUAUCUUGGCUCUUCAAAGGCCCAGCUCCUUAAGACGCCAACGAUCUAACCCGCCCCUAUUAGUGCGGGUUAUAUCGCUGGGUUAUAUCCCCACACACCUCAUAUAAAUUCAAUAAUUGAAGAUGAAACUUUGAUUUUUUUGUAUUACAUGUAUACUACAUUUUUAUGUCACAAAAAUAUCAACACUACCUUGCCCUCUCUCAAAUCAGACACUAACACACCCCCCCCCCUCGAAUCGACAAAUCUCCCCUUGGAUAUCGAUAGGUUUGUAAGCCACGUAUGUCAUAACUUUUGUGGAACAUUUUGAAAUUUUAACCAUAUAUUUUAGUCAUCAAAUGAUGACACCAUGCAAAGCUUAUAUUACUGAAACAACACUUUCAACUUUUAAAAGUUGAAAACAGAUUGCAGAUGUGUGUUUAAAUAAUCCGAACAAAUGUUUGGACUUCUCUUUCAAUUUCUUUAAACAACUAAAAUAUACACAAAAAACAUUAAUAGCAUGGAAUUGGCACAUAAUUGUGGUCGAAAUGUUUAGCAGCUUGCCAAUCACUAGACUUAGCUAGUUAAGAGCACUCGUUUCUUGGACACACUACUAAGUUUUAACCAUUUAGCUACAUGCCCACUUGACUUGGUGAAAAUUCCCCAAAGCUCGCCACCCAUCAAAUUCCUAGCUCGUGCUGCCGUCAACCACACUAGUUCAUCGCCAACAUCGCCGCCCCGCUUGACCUUGUCUGCGCUCCCAUGUUAUUAUGCGCAGCAUUGUGAUGUGGCUGCCCGCGACCCAGUGGUCCUCUUCCUCUGACCUGCCCCGCCUGCUCAUCUGCACCGCCGCCCACCCUUCGUCUGCGUUCUCGCCCAUCGCUCAGUGCCUCUCCUCUACAUCCUAUAUGCCGGCAGGUAGGCAUUCUCCUGCUUAGGUCAUUGGGGAUCUAGUGGGGUUGCCCCCGACAGUUCCUAAAAUUUACAUGAAUUUUGAGGUUCCAGAUCAUGUAAAAUGUAAAACAUGUUGUUGUAUAGACAUGUUGCUUAAAUUAUGAUGGUAGUUAGACUAAAUUAAGGCAUCCUUUGGUUUGUAGAAAUUUUGUAGGAUAGGGUUUUCAAAGGAAAAAUUCCUUUGGAGCCCUUUGGUUUGUAUGAAUGGAUUCCUAUUACUAUGUAGGAUAGAAAUCAAUGCUUCACAUUUCAAAGGAAAAAUCAUUUUCGUGGACUCAAUGAAACAAUUCCUAUCCUAUCAAUCAAAUGUCAUCUCACUUCAUAUGAUUUUUCCGUUCAUAUGAUAUUCAUAUCCUAUGAACCAAAGAGGCCUAAACAUGUUGCUUUUAUAGGGUUGAGGUUCUAGGUUAAUAAAUAGAUUACAUGAUGAUAUACGACAAAGUUUCAAAACUUGUUGUAUGGGGACUAAAUUAGACAUGUUGCUCUAUACGUUGAUGUCGCGAUCCCAAGGCAGGAAGAGGCCCCAGCUUGCUGUACGGGACCCCAGGGCACGUCCGCUCAGGGACUACGUGUACGAGAUACCACGCAAGUUCCAUGUACGAUCUACUCGGUUUGUUUAGGGAAUCGUACAAUAAGGGAGACCAUGAACCUCAUAUUUUCCAUGAUUACUGUGCUAAUCGGAUUAAAGAUUUUCAGGUACAUGUCCAUCAAUCGAUCAAUCAAAAAACAAGUAUGUACACUGCUUUCGUUAUGUCCAAAUAGGCUAGUACAUGACUUGGCUGCCUCCGGCAAAUUGUGCACACGUACGAGCUCCUGCCUUGAUCGAUUCCUACUCGAAGAUGGGAUCACGUUCCACAGGCGCAGGAUCUAUUCAAAAGCCACCCAGGCCCAGGUGGACGCGAACGUGACGAGAUGUGGGACGACGAGAUAUGAGCCGUAUAAAUCGGAAAGGAGGGAUGAGUAUACUGGUGCGUUCCAGGUUGAACUAGCGGUGCGUUACUAUUGGUCUUCUCUGAAAUGAUACUAAUAUUGGUUAGCAUGUAGCAAAGUGGCAGGGCCCAUGAAAUCACCGAAAAGCCUGCUGAUGAUACGACGCGGCGGGGGCACACGUCCACGAGAAAGACAUUUAGGGUCUUUUGAUUGUGACUACUUUCGCCAAUUACUUUACUUGAGGUGCUCAAAUGUUUGACCACACUGUGACCUUCCUUAGAUAAUCUUGUCACACUCUUUUUGUAUCUAUGACAUAUCUUAGUCGUGGCUAGAACAAAACACACAUCUAACUUGGUCAAACUUGCCUAAAUUGAGGUGUGGUAAAGUCUGGCGAGUUGUGGCUUGGAACCAAACAACCCCUUGGAUACUUUUGGCAACUUAGUUGAGGAGGAUUUGUACCACACAGGUGCGCGGCAUUGAUUCACUCGUGCGGACUUUUUCUUUUGGCUUUCUAUUUUUAAUCUUUCAUAUCUUUUGAAUAAAAAGUCUAAAUUGAGUUAUGUUUUCAUAUUCGUAUUUGUCAUGAUGAGGGCUUUAAAAUAAGAUCCAUUUUGAAUACAUUUUGAGGAGUUCUCAAACAUUCCAUUAUUUAAACUUAGUACGCACGACCGGUAAUUAAGUCUUGUUUUCAUAUUCGUAUUUCUGGUGAUGAGGAUUUUCAAAUAAGGUUCAUUUUGAAUACAUUUUGAGGAUUUUUAAAAAAUUCCGUUAAUUUUCAACCUUUGAAACUUAGUACACACAACUGAUAAAAUCAUAACUUUUGUACAAAAAUUGUCGAUAAAAAUUUGAACUCCGAAACUUAAUACGAACGAUCGAGAAAACCGUAAGCUUCAGAUGCAAAAUAGUAAGUUUCCAAGUUUAAAACUUAAACUGAUAUGUUCCCUUGUGUAGGAUACAGCUACUUUGCGGACCGUGAGACGAUUGGGUGGCCAGGGAGAGAAAGCAGGUGCAUGCCCCUGCCAAUUUUGGACUUAGUUGAUCAUAUACAUUGAAGGUUUUCUACUACACCAUGAUGGACAUGUUUUUAUUUAUUAAAUUGUACAUUUAAUGAAGUGAAAGACAUUACGCUGCAGUGGGGGUGUCAUUCUAACUAAUUGGAUUAGGCAACCAAACAUAGCUCGUUGCAAAGCUGACUAAAAUAUAUUUCCUCCAUUUCAUAAUAUAGUGUCCACGUGCUUUUCAAGAUUCAAAUUUGACCAUAAAUUAGGCCAAUAAUACAUAAAUCAUUUUACUGAAAAAUUAUACCUUUGAAUACUUUUCCAAAUACGAAUUCAAAGGUAUCUCCAUGAUACGGCCGCAGUCGCUAAUGUUGGUUAAAUUUAUGGUCAAAAUUAAAUCUCAAAAAG